CAAUAGUAUCUUCAUAAAUAAUUGUUCCAUUGCAUUCAUUCUUAUGAAAUACAAACCACAAGUCUCUUGUAUGUGUUGGAUUAAAGACCUCAACCAAACACAUUCUCGACUUGCCUCAUGUAGUGCUAAAAGUUUUGUAUGAUUUGAUGAUGUUGUUGUUAUGGUUUGUUUCACAUAUUUUCAUGAAUUGGUAGUAGCACCACAUGUAAAAAGGUAACAUAUUUGUGAUCUACUAAUACGAGGAUCUCACGAAUAACUUACAUCUACAAAACCAAUCAAUUCUAAUUUGGGUACUUUGAGAUAAAACAGACUCAUUCAUUGUAGGUAACGAAGUAUACGUUUGACGUCAUUCCAAUGUCUUCGUGUAGGUGAAGAGUUGUAUCUUGUUAAUAGAUUGACAUAAAAUAAUAUAUCAGGACAUGUGUAAUUAACAAGAUACAUUAGCGUUCAAUUGCACUAAUAUAUGUUACUUCAAGAUCAAAUAGUUCUUGAUCCUCUUCUCGAGGUCUGAAAGAAUCUUUAUUCGCAUCUAGUGAUAUCAUAACCAUCAGAAUACAUGACUAAUGAUAUUUGUCCAUAUAGAAACAUUUUAGUACUUUUGCCGUAUACGUUUCUUGGUGCACAAAAAAACUAUUAUUCAAAAGCUCAAUUUAUAAUCCUAGACAAAACUGUCUUUCCCAAGUCUUCCAUCUCAAACUCUUUCUUCAAAUAAUCUAUAGCUUUUGGAAGUUCUUCAGAAGUUCUUAUGAUAUUUAUGUCAUCAACAUACACAACAAUUAUGACAAAUUAAUUUCUAGACCUUUUCAAAAAAUAAAAAAUAAAUGGACAAAUUGAAUAAUUUUUAUAUCUCUCCCCUAACAAAUAUUCAGAGAAGGUUGAAUUGUGUUUGCAAAAGCUGAUAACUUUUUGAUAAUUUAUAUUGAAAUAAAAAAACUAGUUCGAUUUUGGUGACUUACUUAGUAUAGAAGCAAUCGGAUUCAGAGGCAACAAGCAAUGAAAGCAUAAAUAAUUUGACACGUAAAUUUAUUCCGGUUCACCAUUAACUUGGAUAUAUCUAUCUCCUCAUUCAGAAGGUUUUAAUCCACUAAUUCAAAUACCUUGAAUUACAAAGCAGCUAACCUCCAAGUCAGUCUCCCCAAACAACUAACCACUUUGACCCUACAAGUCAAGUCUUCUCCUAACAACUUGACAACCCCAAAUUGAAGAAGGAACUAACCACCUUGACCCUGCAAGCCAAGUCUUCUCCUAACAACCUGACAACCCCAUAUUAAAAAAGGAACUAAACCACUAUCGGGUUGGAUAUAAAAGAUUGGAACUUGAGUAAUUGCUACUAACAAAGCUGAUAAUAAUAAUAAUAACUCCCACCCUCUAAGAAAAUAACACUCAUAAAAUAUUUCUAACUUGAACAUGUAUUUCUGUCUUUGAACUCCAAGAUGUAUUUAUAAUUUUGAACUUGUGAGUUCUUCUACUAUUUUCUGCUUUUCGAUGUUUUCCUCCAUCAGCCUUGAAUGUCUAUUUAUAGUGAAAAUUUGGCCUUCAAUUUAAUCAUAGUUUAAUUCUGAAUUGUAUCUUGUUCAGAUCGAGUUUGUAAAUUCUUCAAAUUGAUUCUAUUUCAAUUUUGUUUAGAAUGAGUUUGUAAAUUAUUCAGAUUGAUUAUAUUUGUAUUUUGUUCGAAUUGCGUUUGUAAUUUCUUCAGAUUGAUUUUAUUCAUAUUUUGUGGUAGAUAAAACUUGAUCAAAUCUUCUUCAAAUAUUCAUCAAAUCUUCUUCUAAUGUUGAUCAAAUCUUCUUCAAAUAUUCUUCACAUCUUGACCAUAUUUUCUUUUCAAAUUGGUCAAAGAUUUUCUUCAAUAGAUAUGAAUCAAAUCUUAUUUUAGAUUUUCAUCAAUUUAAAUCAAAUCUUAUUUUAGAUGUUCUUCAAUUAUAAAUGUGAAUAAAAUCUUAUUUUAGAUUUUCUUCGAUUAUAAUUUAAAUCAAAUCUUCUUUUAGAUUUUCUUCAAAUAUAUGAAUCUUUUUUCAUACUCUUCGAAGUCAAAUAUAUUGUUCUCAUAAAAUACUUUUGUUAUCCUCAAAGUUCAAAGUAUAAAAUUAACUUGGUUCCAACAAUCUCCCUCUUUUUGAUGGUGAUAAAACUUGUAUUUUUUAUAACAACUUUUCUUUAUAUUUCUUUGGCUCCCCCUAACUUAGAGCUCCCCCUAAGUCUAAGUAUCAUUUCCUCUCCACUUUAUCAAAUAUAUUUCUCCCUCUUUUGUCAUCAGACAAAAAUACUUAAAAUGAAACUUUGUCCAUCUCAAUUUUUUUUUCGUUUUGGUUUUCUCUCUGUUUUUUUUUUUUUUGAAUAAAAUGAAUAUAAUAUAAUACAAGAAAAUAUAAUAACUAUCUAAAACUUAACUACUUUGAAGUGAUCACAACAUCAGUCAUAUAUGACGGUAAGGUUUAAGUUUUUUUUUUUAUGAAGUUAAACUUAUCUUCAAGUAGUGGUUUGGUGAAUAUGCCAGUCCAUUGAUGCUCAAUAUCUACAACAUGAAUGUUUAGUACCCCUUUGUGAACAAUUUCCUAAUGAAGUGGUGUUUGACUUCUAUUUGUUUAGCUCUAGAAUGUAGAAUAGAGUUUUUUUGUUAGACAAAUGACACAAGUAUUAUCACAAUAGAUGAAAAUGUUGGAUUCUAAGAUUUUGUAGUCUUCAAGUUGAUGUUUCAUCCAAAGUAGUUGAGAACUGCAUGUUGAGACAAAAUCCCAAUUUAAUGUUUUGAUGAAAACAAACAAAAAGUUAAUUAAGAAUUAUAAUUAUGAUUCUAAGUGUUUUGAUAUUUAACAUGUGUUUUUGAGUAUGUUAAAACAAGAUAGAUAUCAAACAUCACAAAUCAGAUCAAAGAAAGCAGUUCUGGAAAACGAAGAUUGAUUCUGAAAAACGAAGAUUGAUCUCAAAGCUAUUCAGGAAAACGAAGAUUGAUCUUGACCUUCUGCUGAGAAACGAAGAACGAUCUUCGUUUAUGGCAUAAACAAGGAUAAUUAGUUUCCUUGUAAAAAGAUCAAUCAUGGAAACAUCAUUCAUCUUAUAUUCUCAUAUAGAAUCAGCGAAGAAUCAAAGACUUGCUUCAAUAAAGGCAUAAUACAAGAUAAUUCUUCAAAUGAGGCAAGUGCAAGUACAAAGCUACAAGCUGUAAAGAACACUGCUGAUUGUACCUUUUUAAACCUGCACACGUGACUGAAAAGCAUGCACUCAAAUCAGACAUCUGACACAAGCACAAAGUAUAAGUUAGUUCAUCACAAACAAAUUCAAAGAUCAAUCCUGGUUCUCAAGAUCGAUCUUGGAUGCAGUUGUGAUUACUCUUACUUUAUGACAGACUUUAUCCAACAGCUUUUUCAUGACAACUGGCCCUAUUUCAACGGCCAUAUGAGCUGUCCCAAGCCUUCUUGAAGUCUAUAAAUGCAGCUUCAAGAUGAAGAACAAAACACAACUCAAAGUACCAAGCAAAGAUCAAUCAUUUCAAUCAUACUCAAGCAUCUCAAUAUCAUUCUUAGAUCUUGUUGUUUUUAAUCUUUGUGUUGUGUUAGAAUCAAUAUCAACUGAGUUCUAUUUACAUAAUCUAUUUCUCAAACAAGAGUUGAGAAAAUAUCCAGAUUCUAAACAAUCUCAAAAUCACCACUUUGUAACUCAAGAUUAUUUUGUUAACAUAAGCUUGAGUGUUUUGUAAAAACCUUUCACGUUUUGAAAGGUAACUCGAAAAAUCCUUUCUGAAAUAGUAAGGUAGAACUGAGGAAAUCCUUUCUAGGUAGAAAGGUAGAAACUAUGUAAAGAUCAAGAUAGAUCCGUGAAAACCAAGAACGAUCUUGACUUGAACACUUAGUGAAAAAUCUCACGGUUGUGAGGACUGGACGUAACCCGAAUUGGGUGAACCAGGAUAUAUCCUUGUGUGAUCUCUCUAUCUUUAUCUCUAUUUAUCUUAUGCUUUACAAUCAAAUCAUAUUUUGAUAAAAUUGAUUUUACUGUUUUUAAAGCAAACCAAGAUUGAUCUUCAACAAAACCAAGAUCGAUCUUCAUCACUGCCAAGAUCAAUCUUGGAUUGAGAUCUUAUUUUUAAAANNNNNNNNNNNNNNNNNNNNNNNNNNNNNNNNNNNNCCCCCCCCCUUACUUAUAAUUGAUAUUUCUACUUCACUGCAGCCAACUACUGAAAUGUACUCGACUUCUGUUGUUGACAUUGUGGUGGUGUUUUGUCUCUUACUUGACCCAAAUAUUUAGUUGUCACCUUAAAAGGUGUAGUUGCCACUAGUACUCUUUCUCUCAAGUUAAUCUCCAACAUAAUAAUAAUCACAAUAUCCACUCAGUUUGUAAUUAGGAGAUUUCUUGUAGAACAAGGUAAGGUUGAUAGUGCCUUUUAGGUAUUUAAGGAUUCUCUUAACAACAGUUAAAUGUGAUUUCCUAAGGUCAACUUGAAAUCUUGGACAUACACACACACACUAAACAUGAUGUCAGGUCUGGAAGCGGUAAGGUAAAGUAAGGAUCCUAUAAUUUCUCUAUAGGUUUUUUUUGGACAACUUUUUCGCCUGAAUCAUCUUUUUCAAGUGAACAAGUAAGGUCUAUUGGUGUAGCCAUAGGUUCUCAAUCACUCAUCUUAAACUUCCUAAGAAGCUAUUUUGUAUAUUUAGUUUGAUACGUUUUUGACUUUGCUGAAUUUGUAUCCUUAAGAAGAACUUAAGUUCUCCCGUUAUACUCAUUUGAAAUUCAAGCUGCAUUAAUUUAGAAAAUUAUUGGCAAAAAGUGCCAUUAGUAUAUCCAAAAAUAAUGUAAUCAACAUAAAUUUGAAUAAUAAGAAUGUCAUCUCCUAUUGAUUUUCUAAAGAGUGUAUUAUCAACAUGUCUUCUUUCAAAUUUAUUUUUAAGCAAGAAGUUACUAAGUCUAUUAUACCAUGCCCUAGGUACUUGUUUUAGACGAUAUAUAGAUUUCUUAAGUUUAAAAACACGAUUUUGAAGUUCAGUACUUUCAAAACCUGGAGGUUGUUUAACGUAGACUUCUUCACUUAUAUAACUAUUUAGAAAAUUACCUUUAGCUUCAUUUGAAUAAUCUAAUGUUAUUAUUUGCAGUAAAAAAAAAGUAGGAUACAAAUAACUUCUAACAUGAUCACUUGAGCAAAUGUCUUAGUGUAAUCAAUGUCUUCUUGCUGAUUGUAUCUUUGUUCGACAAGUCUUGCCUUGUUUCUGACCACUUCACCUUUUUCAUUUAGCUGGUUUCUGAAAACCCACUUCAUUCGAAUAAUGUUCUUAUGUGGUCUAGGUACUAGAUCCCAAACAUCAUUCUUCUUAAAUUCAUUUAACUAUUCUUGCAUUGAAAGAAUCCGUCCAUCAUAUGUCAAUGAAUGAGAUGAGAUGUCUUGUACUUCCAUCCAAAUCUUCCUUCUAACUUUCUUGACUGAUUCUAACUUGAUCAGAUUCAUCCUCUGAAGUUUUGUCAUCUUCUGGUUUGUUUGCAUUUGCUUCCUCUAGUUCCGGUAAACCUGCAAUAUCCUCAACUUGCUUUGACUUUUUAAGGUAAAUCUAUUUGUAAUAUAAAAUAGUAUAAAUCAGCAAAACAUAAGUUUUGUUUUUGGUAUUUCCGCUUGUUUCAGAAAACCAAACUUGUAUGCUAUUUCUGCUGAAGUGUUCAGAUUAUGUGGAUCUCCUUGUUCCUCUAAAUUUUUGUGAACCUGCAAAGUACUUAUCUAUCUUUGAUUUUUAAGAACAAGCUUCUUGUUAUCACAGUAAACAUAAUAUUAAACAAUACUUAAAUUUAUACAAAGAUAUAACUUAUAUGUCAACAAUUUCAGUUUCACUCUCAAAAUUCUUUUAUUUUUUCUUUUCUAGUUUUCAGAUUCUGAAUUUUCAUAUUCUCUUAUUAUAGGGUCUGGAUGAAGGGAUUUGAAUUCCCAUCCAGGUUUGUAGUCUUGAUGAAUUUGAUUGGAGUGUUCAAAUAAGUCUCAUAAUUCUUAUUGUUUAUGUAUCAAGUUACUAUAGUAAAGCUGAUGGUAAUUCUGAUUCUUCUGGUAGUUCCGUAUUUGUUGAUAUGUGUGAUUUCUCUGCCAGUUUUGAUUCUGUUGAUACUCUAGAUUCUUAUGAUACUUCUGGUUCAUAUGGUUAUGGUUAUGAUAGGUAUUAUGCUGACCAAUCCUUCUUCCACCAUAGUCAGUUGGCAUCUGUUUGUUAAGUCUUGGAACAUAGACCUUUUUUCCUUCAUAUAUUGCAAGCAUCCAUUGACCAGUCACAAAGAAUGGUGUUUCAAUUUGGUUUCUUAGAACAUUUGCAACAUAAACAAAUUUAUCAUUUGGUACCAAAAUCUGGUUAGCAUAGGACAAGGUAUUUUAGUGUAACAUUUCUUAUAGCAAUUAUUACAUAAAUCAUCAUAGGGCACAAACUUAGGUUCAAUUACUUUUUCUUGAAAUCCUAUUCCUCUUUUACCAUUCCUACUAACAUCGUAAAUCAUAGAUGCGCCAACCUUGUGUUUGACCUAUGUAUUUGAAUUCUUAUCUUAUAACAGUGUUGAUUUAUGUAUUUGAUUUCUUUUCUUAUAACAUAGUGUUGACGUUUGUAUUUGAUUUCUUUUCUUAAAGAAGCGCUUUGUGGGAGGCAACCCAUAGGUAGAUGUAACUUUUAUUUUUGCAAAUUUAUUUUUGUUAUUUGAAUUUUUUUUAAUUGUGUGUAAACGUGCACUAUGAUGAAGAAUUUUUAACAAUUUGAUCUUGGUCUUAAGUUUUUUUUUUUUUUUGUUUGUGAUUUCAAGUUUUAAAUUAUAAUUAUCCGAUCAUGUUCAUUGUUCAAUUUGAUGAGUUUCACUUACGAAUACAUUGUUGAAUACUCUUUGGUUGUGGAAGUCUUAACUUUCUGUAUAAAAAAAUUGUAGUGACAUGUUUGACAUCAUUUUGAUAGUUCAUACAUUCUCUUAUUAUCCUAGUUGUCAGCUUUUGAGUCUAAACACUUUAAUUCUUUGUUAUGUGAUUAUCUAGACAUGUGUUAUCCCUUCAGAACUUGUACUAAUUCUAACUUGCACCAGUUGUGAUUUAUGCAUACUUUGAGAGAAUUUUGUUUGGUCGUUUGAGUCUUUUUAACUAUCAUGCGAAAAAUUUAUCAUUUGUUAGCCUCUUUGAGCAUUGUCGUUUUCUUUUGGUUACUAGUCAAAUUACAAGUCAAAGAUCUAAUUUUAAUUAAACCACCUUACUUGGAGUUAUGUAGGAAAUUUUGUCUCGUCUUGGUAAAUAUAUAACUUUGGGGUUGCUCAUGGAACAUCAACCUUAUAAGUGUGGGGUGGUGUUUCUAAAAAAAAAAAUCAAAACAAAAAGAAAAUAGAAGAAGAAAAAUAAUUUGUUUGUGUACUUUGAUGACUAACAGCUCGUUGAUUCUUUUGCCAAUAUUUUGGAAUCUGCAUAAUGAAAAUGUGAAGAAUAAAAAGUAGAAUAAUUUGAAAUGAGUACAUAACUCCAAGUAGUAAAGUCUACUAUCCUAAAACGUUAUACCCUUACCUAAGUCCGAUUACCACCUGAAAGUCCUCCAAAAGUGUAUGUGUUUGUUGCAUUGUGAUUGCUAACUAUAAUUUUUUUCAAGUCUAUGGUAGCGUGAUACAUAUUCUAGGAUUUGAGUGAUAAACUUAUGACCCUUGCAAAACACUUGAGAGAAAUUUUGAUGAGGUUGUGUGAAGAGAGAGUUGAACUUGAUGAAUGAAUGUUAAAUGAGUUGUUCUAAGUUUACAAAUGUUAUUUUUUUUUGGUGAGAUGUAAGCAACCUUUGAGCAUGUUGAAUGUUUUGUAGUAGCUGUAACAUUGAGGAAUGAGUUUAAACUUGAUUUUAAUUAAAGUUUGGGGUUGUGAAAGCUCUUCAUCAUAUGUUUAAUUACUAUAUUUGAACAAAAAGUUUUUAAAUUUCGGGUUGUGAUAGUUUUUCAAUUUUGGAAACUUCAUUAUAAUAACUUUGAAAACCUUACAAUAUUUUUCCCUGUUUUUUGUUGCAGGGUUAUCUUUUAUGUGUCUCUUCCCAACCAAUAACCUCAAACAUUUUACUUUUGAAGAUUUACCCACUAUAUAAAACUAUCGAAUUCAACAUUUAUUUUAAGAUUCUAAUUUGCUACAUUAAGAAUUAACGAAGUCAGAUACUAUGAAAUUUCAAAAUAAUAACUGGAAUUAAAAAAAAAAAAAAACUCAAUCACAUAAGUCCCUUUUGUGAGAAUUUUAAGGGAUAAAUUGACCAAUCAAAACAAAUAAGACGAUUAAGAAUUUUUGAUUAGGGAGUCAAACAAGGUGUGUCAAACAAUAUUUUUUGGAGUGAGUCUCAAGGCUCACAUAUUUGAUCUGAGGUUUAAGUAAGGUUGCUAUUUUGGUGAUAAUUUACACAAUUUUCUGUUUCUUUUUAACCAACUCUUGCAUGAAUAUAUUUUAUUUGCUCUUUUUUUUUUUCUCUUCCUAAAAACAGUUACAACCAUUGUUUCACAUAAAGUACAUUUGACUAUAAAUAUAUAGUAAGGAUUCAACAAUAAAAAUUACACUUUGAUAUACACAUUUCAUAAGAGAUAUAUUAUUGUAAAACUCAUCUUUAUAUAAACACGUUUUGAAGAUAUAUACCAACUUCCUCAAUUAUCUUUUAACAUUUUGUUAAAAAACACACAACAUUUAAACAUGAUUCUACUAAACUUGAUUAUUGAUGCAUAUGACACAUGCAAUAAAGGUCAUUUGCAUCCUUCAACAAUCAUCACAAACCUUUGACAUAUUUCAAUCAUUUUUUAGAGAACCAUAGUAUAUAUAUAUCCUUUUAUCAAAGUGUCGACCCCUAAUUUUUUCCGUUUUUUCUUAUUAUCCAAAAAAAAAAAAAAAAAAAACUACAAUGGGUAGAGGAAAAACCCACCUAAUGGGUAGGGGCGCGGAGACAGAUAAUUAUCCGCAAAAUUAAAUGGAUAUGGGUACGAGUACGAGUAUUAUAGUACCCACUCAGCCCCGUAUUCGCACUAAUAUAAAUAUAUUAUUUAUUUAUUAUAUUAUAUUAGUAUGUAGUUUAAUUAAUUGUUUUCUUUUAUGUUUUAACAUCUAUUGAUAUCAUUAGACUACUACAAUAUUUAUAAUCAAAAGAUAAACGUUUGCAAAUUUUUUAAGAAAUUGAUUUUUAUGAAUAGACAAAUAGUUGUGACAUUAUAACUAAAAGUUAUGUUUUAUUAAUCGUGACUUUAUAACUAAAAAUUAUGUUUUAUUAAUCAUGACUUUAUAGUUAUACUUGCGACUUCAAAUCAAUUUUUUUUUUCAGAUCUCAAAUAAUACCGCUGUAAGACUUACAACUUCAUAAAGUAUUAUUAUGAAUAUUUGAAUGUGUUUGUAGCGUGUGCUCAUUUGAAAUGCUUUGAGUUAUAACUGAAUUUAAGAUAUUUGGAUAAUUUUUAAAUUUAAUGACAACAAUAUCAUUUAUUUAUCGAUCUAUUUUAGUUAAAGUUUGGAUAAUGGGUAUGGGUACGGACACUUAGAUACCCCAAGGGUACGGGUAUUGAAGUUGAUAUCCAAGAGGAUACUAUCACGAGUAUGAGUAUUUUUUUAAACUGCGGGUAUGAGGACGAGUACUGUAGUACCCUACCAAAAUCAUAUCCAUUAUCAUCCCUAAUGGUCAUAUUAUCUCAAAAAAUUAUAAUUUUUAAAUUUAAUGACAACAAUAUCAUUUAUUUAUCGAUCUAUUUUAGUUAAAGUUUGGAUAAUGGGUAUGAGUACGAACACUUAGAUACCCCAAGGGUACGAGUAUUAAAGUUGAUAUCCAAGAGGAUACUAUCAUGAGUAUGAGUAUUUUUUUAAACUGCGGGUAUGAAGACGAGUACUAUAGUACCCUACCAAAAUCAUAUCCAUUGUCAUCCCUAAUGGUCAUAUUAUCUCAAAAAAUUAAACUACUGUGCUUGUUCUUUGUCAAUCAAUGCAAAUCUAAUUGAAAUGGAGUCUUCCCUUGCUAGUUUAUGUAUUCAAACAAAUCCCAAAUAAAUUAGAUAAAUUCAAGAAUAUAUGUUAGAGAAAUGUUCAAUCAAGUGUUGUUGUGAGUCCCUACUUGAGGAUUUUUGUUCUCUGAAAUGCAUCAAGUCAGGAGUAAUAAUAACUUGAUUUGGUGGUUUGAGCAUAUGAAUAUAAAGGUUUGUUUGAGAGUUUUGGAGGAGAAGAGAAGGGAAGGUUUUGAACAAAAAAAAAAAAAAAGAGAAAGUAAAAGGAAUAAAUGAUUUUGAGAGGUGAGGGCUUUAGAGGGUCUAUUUUUCUUCAUUAUACAAAACCUUCAUAAUAUGGGAGAACUACAAAAAUAUAUUGGAGGAGGAUUUAGCUAAAUUCUUCCACUAUAAUACUUUAACAAUUAAAAAUUCAUUCAUCCUACACAUUUUGAGUUUUUUUAUUAAUAUAUUCUUUUUUAUUUAUUUUAUCCUAAUUUGAAAAUUAUUUAUACGAAUGUUCUACUUUUUUUUUUUUUUAAGUAGGAGGUCAUUCCCUAAGAAAGCGACCACCUGAAGGCGGAUUUUUUAAAACUCAAUAGAAGUUUGUUUCUUAGGGAAACGACUUCUAACUGAGUAAAUGUUUUUUGUUUGUUAUAUUUUAAUAUUUGUUUAUUAUUAGAGUUAUUAAGUUAAUUAUUUAAAAAAUAAAAAUACUAAUAAUAAAUAAAAUAAAAUAUAUUAAUAAAUUAUAAAUUUUAUAUUUUAAUUAUUAUUAUAAUAAAUAAUUAUUAUAAUUAAAAUGAUUAAAUAAAAAUGAUUAUAUUAUAUUAUAAAUUUUUAAAAAAAUACACUAAAAUAAAAAAAAAACAUCAAAUUUGAGUAGAUGUACCAUUAGCGUAUAGACAAUGUUUUCUAGUAUGACCAGAGAUCCGACAUUACCCGCAUAUAAUUAUUGGAAUCUUAUACCUGAUGUGUAUAAGGUGAAAACAGUACUAAAAAUCUACGAUGAAGCGUUCCUGUUGAGACAAAAUCUCUCAAAUGAUUUUAAUGAUAACAAAAUUACUUAAGAGAUUAUGAUUGUGGUUAAUGACUAACAUGUGCUCUUGAGUGUAUUCAUAUAAGAUAAUAGGUUAUUAAUCAUUAAGGCAAAAAGAAGAAAAAAAGUGAUUUUGGCCUGAGGAUGGAAAACCCUCGUGAGGAUGGAAAUUGAUGCAAACGCGAGGAUGGGCUGCAAGUUGAAAAACUCCAGAUUUGGACAAUCUGAUCUCUCACCAGAACAAAUGUGUUUAUUCAAAUGCAUAACAAUGUCAAACAUGAAUAAACAAAGCAUUCAAAAGUAAGAGUCAAAAGGUCAAAAGAAAAAGGUGAAUAUGGCUAGAUCUAGUAUGUAAAGGAUAGGCUAGCAAAAGUGAAAGCAACCUAUCAAGCAUGUGCAAAGGUCAAAAUCUGAACAUUUAAUGGGCUUGCACGUUUUAAUUCAUAAGGAAGUCAAGUUAGCAAAAGGAAACUUGAAACAAGCCAAAAAUGGAAGAUCACAUGUUGCUGCCAGAUCUGAUCCUCGGACUGAGUAUGACAGUCCUAUGUCAUAGGGUGGCUUUUUCUCUCUUGUCAACAUCACCUCAAAAGAUGAAGCCAACCUAGACCUUAAAGACUUCGAAAAAUGCAGCUCAGAAACAGCCUUGCACUCUGAUUAAAGAGAAAAAGCAAGGACAUGUCAAGAUCAAAGCUAUGCUGCAAGAGGAUGGGUUCUGCCUAAGCCUAACAAGCUGAGUGGCAGUUCUGUAAUUUUGAUGAAAACCUUGGAUCCUUUGAAAAUGAGCUCCAACGGUCAUCAAAGGCUUGGAUCUCUAUAAAAUGCAUACAAGCUCUCCAUUGGAAGACACACAACACACUUGCAUAAAAAGAUCAAGCAUCUUAAAGCUUUCAAGAAGCAAAUCACAUCCUCCCUUAUUACUUUCUUUGAUCCUACACUAUAUCUUUGUAUAUCUUUUGAGAAAGUAUUAAGUAUCAAUCACUCUCAUUCUACUUUGUAAUUUCCUAGUGAGUGAAGCUUGGAAAUAUUUGGAAAUUGAUUGUAAGCUUGGUGAAGCUUGAUAAUACACGGUUGUAAUCAUCCUCGGGUUGAGGAUUGAUCUGUUUUGAAAGUUAGUGAAAUCUCACAAGGGUGUGAGGACUGGACGUAGCCAUCUUUGGGUGAACCAGUAUAAAAUUGUGUGUGUGUCCCUCAUAUUCUGCUCCUACUUUUUUACUCAGCUUAGAUCUAACGAUUUAAAAACCCCAUCCUCGAGCUAGCCAUCCUCUGCAAGAGGAUAGUUUUUAAAACACUUAAAAAUUGUUUUUAACAGCAAAAUCCCUAUUCAACCCCCCCUUCUAGUGAUAUUUAGCUACAUCAGUUCCAACCCAUACCAAACGAAAGAUAUUGGCCACAAUAUAAAGGUGUUAAGGCGUGUCACAAUCCACUAAUGCAGACAGUCAAGAAAUAUCGUUCAAAGAGCAAACAUAUUAGAACAGAAAUGGUGUUGACACAUCUACUCAAAUUUGAUGUAUUUUGUUUUUUAAUUUUAAUGUAUUUUUUUUUAAAUUUAUAAUAUUAUUUAAUCAUUUUAAAUAUAAAAAUUAUUUAUUAUAAUAAUAAUAAUUAGGCUAAAUUACAUUUGUGGUCCUUUAACUUAAUUGCAGGUAACGUUUUAGUCCUUUAUCUUUUUUUUUUUUCCGACUUGGUCCUUUAUUUUAAUUUUAAGUGACAAUUUGAUAUUUUAUGUUUUAAAAUUUCAACAAUGAUAUCCUUUUUUAUACAAAAAUUCAAAAAAAAUUUCAAUCAAAACUCAUAAAAUUCAUUAUAUUCUUCAAUAUAAUACAAAUUUCAUCAAAUUCGUAACGCGAAUCUUCAAAUAAAUUCAUAUUUUCAUACUUUAUUUGAUAUUUUUAGGAAUAAAUGACUAAAUCGGAAAAAAAAAAAGAUAAAAGACUAAAACGUUACCUGAAAUUAAGUUAAGGGACUACAUAUGUAAUUUAGCCUAAUAAUUAAAAUAUAAAAUUUAUUUGUAAUUUAUUAAUGUAUUUUAUUUUAUUAUUAGUAUUUUUAUUUUUAAAAUAAUUAAAUUAAUAACUUUAAUAAUAAACAAAUAUUAAAAUAUAACAAAAAAAAAAAAAUUACUCAAUUAGAAGUCGCAUCUUUAGGAAACGGUCUUCUAUUCAGUUUCAAAAAAUUCGCCUUGAGGUGGUUGCUUCCGCAGGAAACAACCUCCUACUUAAAAAAAAAAGUAGGACAUUCGUGUUAAUAAUUUUUAAAUUAAAACAUUUUAAAAAUUAAAUAAAUAAAAAGAAAUAUAUUAAUAAAAAAACUCACACAUUCUUAUAUAAUUCUCUAUAAAUUUACUCUUAUUUGAUUUUUCUAUAUUUCCCUUUCUUUUCCUUCCUCCAAAGCCCUCCCUUCCCUUUUCCUGCAAACUUCCAAAAGUUUGAGAGACAAAGAGUCCUAAGUUCAACUAAACCCACUAAUAUUUCCAACAAUUAAUUACUAAAUGCCAUUUUAGAUAGAAAAAACAGUUAAAUCACAUUAAUUAAGGAGGUUUAAUUUUUUUUUUUUCCGUAAGCUAAAAUCUUAAUAAAGCCACUUCCAAACAUUGUAGUGUUUGGCCAAAAGAAAAAUCCACCAAAAAAGGUAAAGUACCACCAAGUUUCUAUCAUCUAACCAACCACUUAUUGACACGUAUAUACCUUACCAUAAUUGUAAUCUUCACUUUAAAUAUCCGGUUAUAUGUCAUAACCCUUAUUAGAAGCUAUAGUUUGCGUUUAGGCCACAACCAAAUAAUUUAAUGAAUGCGAUGAUAUCUUAGCUUUUCCUCAUAAUAUUAUUGUUCUUGCUUUUUCCUUAGUAAGACCAAAGAAGAAAGGAAAAGGAACCUAUUCUUUAAACAAGGCAUGCCUUCUUUUAAUAAUUACUUUCCACACCCCCUCCUUCUCCUUCUCUUUCAAAACCAUGGAAGAUUUGAACAUGAUUGCUGCCGAUUGUGUUGUCAUAUCAUGCUGCUGCCAAUGCUUGAUCUUGCAAAUUUUUGUACUUGUGUUGCGCAAGAUGGUGAGGAAAACAAGAGAAUAUGGUAAGAAAAUAUUUUGUCAAAAGAAGGGGGUGCAAAGAGAAAUGGGUUGUUAUAAAGAUGUGGUUUUGAGAAUUCAUGAACAAUCCUUCAGGGUUCAAGAGGAUAUCGAUCUAAAAGAUGGUGAUUUACACAAUUGUGGUUGUUGUAUGGUUGAAGUUGAGAAAGUGAUGGAGGAACUUUGUGAGAAGGGGGAGUUUGGAUUUGGAAGCUUUUGGGGUAGGAAGAGGCCAUGGGGUGUUACUAAAGUUGUUAAUGAUCAUAAUGAUGCUAGUUUUGUAAGAUAUCAAAUAAUUGAUUUGGUUGGUUCGUUAAGCAAUGCUUAAAAUAUAUAUAUAUAUANNNNNNNNNNNNNNNNNNNNNNNNNNNNNNNNNNNNNNNNNNNNNNNNNNNNNNNNNNNNNNNNNNNNNNNNNNNNNNNNNNNNNNNNNNNNNNNNNNNNNNNNNNNNNNNNNNNNNNNNNNNNNNNNNNNNNNNNNNNNNNNNNNNNNNNNNNNNNNNNNNNNNNNNNNNNNNNNNNNNNNNNNAGAAUUUAACUCAUAUUUAAAAUUUCAAUGCUAAUUAAUGUGAUGAUUUUGUUGAAUAUUCUUUGGUUUAAAGUCACUUUCCUAAAUAUUUAUUUUUGUAUGUAUAAUUUUUUUGCCACAUUUAUGGUUCUUAGGUUUGGGCUCAAGAUAAUUGCUUGCAUAUAUAAUACCAUGGCUAAACCUUGUCUUUGGCAUUUCCAUAGCUUUACUAAUAAGCUCUAAUUAUGGUAAUGGUACUAGUGUUGUGUACGGCACUAAUUAUAAGACAUGGAAUAAUUUUGUUUUUUUUAACAAUUGAAAAGUAUUUUUGUAUUCUGUUUUUAUUCAUUGCAAUUUUUUAAUAAAAAUUAUGAAAUAUUUUAAGGGUUGUGCAAGGAUACAGACACUUGGUUGGUAUUUUUCAAUUCCAUUUUCAUACAAAUUAAGCUUUUUGGCAAACCUAAACUUAAAUUAGAGUUUUCGAACAGAUUUUUCCAAUUUAUUUCAUGUGAAGUUAGUCGUUAGUCUUUUUCUUAAAAAAUAUUUUGACGUUAAACUAACUAUUUUUUAUACUUUAUUUCAUGUACAAAUUUGUCAUCGAAUAUUUUACUAGUGAUUUGAAAUGGUAAAUUAUGUUCUCUAUUUAUUAAGAUAGCAUCUAAAUCAAAUCAUAUUAAUUGUUAUAAUAUCUAAUAUUUUAAAGUUAACAUAAUAUUUUCCGGUCAAGCAGAGUCUAAUUAUAAUACUUAAUGGUGAAAUAUUUUUUUUAGUAUAUCACAAUGAAUAUGUACACAAAUUUAUAACGCACCAAUAAUAAAAGUUUGUUCAAUCAUAUAAAUAUUAUAAAAAUAAAUAACCAUUUAGACAUAAAAAAAAUAUAAACUGUUCAAAAUUUUAAAUUAAGUUCAACCACCUUAGUGUAUUUUUGCCCAUCAAGUACUAGUAUUCAUGUAAACAAACCACCAAAUAUUAUUAUAGUUUUGUCCAUCAAAUACUACUUUCUUUUUUUGGAAAAGGUCCAUCAUCAAAUACUAUUGAUAUAAAAUUACUUCUGCGGUCUUUUAUUUCAUUUAUAAUAACAAUUUAAUUUUUUUAAUCUUUUGUUUCAUUUAAAUAUUUUAUCUUUUAAAAAGUGUUUAAAAUUAUCGACUUUUAUUUACAAAAUUUUGUUAUAAAUAAUAAUUAUAUUUUAAGUUGGUUGUCAACAAAAACUAGCUUAAAAAAUAUGUUUUGAGUCGGUAUUGACUUCAGAUGUGCCUCAAAAUACUUUAUAAUACGUUGUUUUAAGUCAACUAAAUAUGAAUUUGUUUUUCUAUUAAAAAUUGUUUAUAGAAUUUCACUAAUAAUAAUGUCUUGAAUAUAAAAAAGAAAGUCAAUAAAAAUGUGAUGAUUAACUAAAGAUAUGUAUCUCUACAAGAGCAUGAAUUAUUUUAUUAGUUUGUCUUCGAAUAAAAUCUACUUGUAAAUUUUUAAAAGCUAAAUUAGAAAAUAAAACGACAAUCAAACAUAAUAGCACUAAAUUCUAAAAUAUUCAAUUGACUUUGACUAAACUUAUCAACUACAUAUUUGAAAUUCAAUUUGAAGUCAAUUGAUUCAACUUGACGCUCUUAAACCAAUUACAAAAUAUGAUGAAAUAUAUAUUUCAAUUUAAACUUUAUUUUGUGAGGACGAAAAAGAGACAUCGAUAUUGCAUUUAUAUAUGCUUAGUAUUGGUUUUUUUCUCACAUUCGCCCUUAUCCGCAACAUAGGAGCAAUUCAAGCUUCUUGAACUUGAUGAACUAGCUAUCAAUCAUCAAUCAGUUGAGUAAACUAAAAUCUGUAUCAAUCAGUUUUUUUCUUCUUAAGUUGGCUGCAAAAUGGCUUAAAUUAUACUUCACAUAUUAGAUAUUAAGUUAUAUAUUCUAAGACACUUAUGGAUCCAACAUAAAAAAUGAUGUCUUUUCUCUAACGGUAGCUUUCUACCAUAUCAUUGGAUCAGGUUGAAUAUUUGAGUCAACAGUUAUGCAAUUCAACUAAAAUUAUAUAGCUAUUAAAAGUAUAUAUUAUACUAGAUUUAUUUUUUAUUUUAUAAUUCUAAAAAAAUAUUUUAUAAAAAAGUGAGUAUUAAUAUUAAUUAAUAGUAUUAGUAAAAAAAAAAUAUUACUGAACAGUAUAUCAUAUAAUAUAUAUAAUAUUUUGUUUAGAAUUUGGAUUCUAAAAUAGAAGUAAAAGAUAAACUAGUGGUUUGUUACAAGGUAAUGGAUACAUGAUAGAGUAGAAACAACACAUGUUGUUAGCCUAAUGCCAUGCGAGCUCUUUGCAAGUCUGAGAUUCUAUUUCUGAAUUUUUUAAUUUAAAUAUACAACAAAAAUUGAACCGGGUCAACCAAUUUACACAGAAUUCCUAUGUCCAAAUUAAUAGAAGUUGGAGGAAGCGUAAAAUAAUGAAUAAUACGAAAUAUUUUACUGCAGUAAAUCCGGUAAAAAACGGAUAUUUGUCUAAUCAUCAUGACGAAUUUGGGGAGAUAGCAAUUCAUUGAAGUAAUAAACUAAUUGUUGUGUUAGAUCGGUAGAUAAACAGCGGCAUCUUAUCUUAAUUUUGCCCCACUCACGUGUAAAGGUAAAGUUACAUAUAUUAGUUUUAGCCCAAAAUUUGAUUUACCUAAAUAUAGGUCUUCCGACGCAAAGACAACAAAAACAAAAAAGCAAGUUUUCCAUCCAAUCCAUACAUCAUUGACUUACGUUUUCAUAUAUUCAUUUACUCAAUUUCGGUUUUACUAUGCCUUACGCGUUUUCUUUCCAACCCCUUUGAACCAAUCCAAUUUUUUCUAAUCAAAUAUAUCAUUGUCACACCUAGCACAUAACCUUACAUUCUCUCCAUCACCAAACAAAUACAACAUCAAAAUCAAACCCAUUAAUUAGAUCUAUCUAUUCAUAUUCUCUUCCUCCUAAGGCCUAGAGGCCUUCACCAACGUACGACCAUGUCAAUGCUCCAAACCGACGAUCAAAUCAAACAACUCAACGACAUUUUCAAGCGCUUCGACAUGGACUCGGACGGAAGCCUAACCCACCUCGAACUCGCCGCGCUCCUCCGGUCUCUCGGUAUCAAACCAUCCGGCGACGAACUUCAUGCCCUAUUAUCCAACAUGGACAACAACAAUAACGGAUAUAUCGAAUUUGAUGAACUUGUUAAUGCAAUCAUGCCGGACAUGAAUGAGAAUGUUCUCCUAAACCAAGAACAACUUUUGGAGGUUUUUCGCUCGUUCGACCGCGAUGGUAAUGGUUAUAUCACCGCGGCCGAACUAGCUGGAUCCAUGGCAAAAAUGGGUCACCCUCUUUCAUAUCAUGAACUUGCUAACAUGAUGGCUGAAGCUGAUAGCAAUGGUGAUGGUGUUAUUAGUUUCAAUGAGUUUGCAACCAUUAUGGCUAAAUCAGCUGCAGAUUUUUUUGGUGUUAAGGCGCAAUAGAUAUAAAUAUAUAUUAGAUCAACCUUUAUGAUGAAAAGUAAAUCAUGGGUUUGAUUUGUGAAACUUUUCAUUUUUUUUUAUUGUUUUUUAGGUUAUAUAUUGGUGUAAAUUAAGGAGGAAGAAAAAGAUAAAAAAAAUGUUGAAACAUAAAUGGGAAAUAUUGAAAAACAAAAUUAAUUAUGUUUGACAUGAAAGUUGACUAAUUGUUGUAAAUGUAAUUUUGUAGAUAUCUACGAUUCGUUAAUUUUUGUGAAUGCUCUUGUUCUUGAUCUUUUGUUUGAUAUAUUAUAAAUGAAUGUGACAAACUUUCUUUUGUUAUUUACGAGCAUUUAUUUUUCCACUUGCAAGAGCUUUGAAGACUUUAAUUUCAUAUACACAUGUAGUUGAAAUGUAUAUAAUGUCAACGAGUAGGUGUUAUAUAGGCACACACAAUGAGGAAGUAGUUUAUUAAAUUAUUUGGAAAUUUUAAAAUGAUUAUUUUUUGAUACAAAUCUUCUUUUCUCUCAUAUUAAAAAUGUCAUUUGGGUUUGAGCAAUAUUUAAAAAAAAAAUAUUUAGAUUGAUUUUAAUGGUAAAACUAGUAUUUACAUUAAAUAAACAAAAACAGUAUUUACAAAAACACACUUAUUAAUCAUUGUAGUGGUCGGUAAUAUGUUUGUAGGAAUUACUGAUUUUUGAGAUUUCAAAGUCCUUUGUUGGUUUUGUUUUUUAAUUAAUGCAAGGGUUUUUAUAAAUUCACAAAAAACUCAAGCAAUCAAAUCAUCACUCAUUGUAAUUCAUGAUGUCGUUAUGAUUUCAGCACUCAUUGUCAUCAUGAUUUCCUCCAACUAUCGAUUUGAAAGUUUUGUCAAAUAAUAAAUUCUCAUUUUAGAUCAAAAUAAAUAAAACAUUUAUAAAAAAAAGGAGCAAGUCAAAGAUUUAUAUGAUUGCACAAAAAUGAAAUUCUCAAUAACACUGUUCUAUUUUUUUACAAAAAAAAAAACAAAAAAAAACCAGCUCUAUCUCAUCCUAAAAAUAAUUCUUGCUUCUAUAUACAGUAACAGCUUCUAUCUGUGAUACAAAAGAUGGUAUAUGAAAGCUAUGUGUACUUAUUUUUCUUCCCAACAUCAGAACCAAAUAAUGUUGGUUCCAUGCAUCAUACUAAGCAACAUAUUCUUCUGGUUGAGAUGAUCCAUCAAGCAAUUCCAUGACUAUGUGCAAAGUCAUAAACAUUUUCAGGAAAACUAUACAACCCUACAGGAUUUAAUGACUAAAAACAAUAUAUCAAAAAUAUAUUAUCUACGGUUAAGAAUUUUGUCUUUGCCCAUUGAUCGGUUUGCCUUGGCAGCUAAACGACCUGUUGAACUGACAGUCAUUGGCUGCAACAAUAUUUGUUGCACCAUAUCACAGUAUUCGGGUUCCUCGAUCUUCCUUUCGUACCUUCUCCACUGUACCAUUUCAUGAUACAUUGGAAAGAACCGCAUCUGAAUUGCUUUGUAUGAGAAGUAUGGUAUAAGGGUCGCGAUCACCACAAAGAAUGUUAAUAUCCAAUAGGUAGGUGAAGGAGCAAGAGCUUCGACGAAAAUUUUGUAAGCGUUUCCAGAAUACUUUUGAGGCACGGCUCCAUAUAUUAAGAGAAAAAUGUACCAGAAAAAAAUGGAACCCCAAAUGAAAAAAUGUUGGAUCAAGGUGAAGUAACUUAUAGCUAGUGCCAUUUGUAAGUUUACAACCCAAACUACACAAGUGAACAUGGUUGUUCCGAGUAUAUCUCUUCCAGCAGUUCUUCCCUCAUGAUCAAAGGCUUGGAGUUCCAUUGCUUUUGUGCAAAAGAAAAAAAUUAAUAAGGCACUAAAGAAUCCGUUAAGCAUCCAACUGAGUACUCGACGCCAGCUGAAAAGGACAUUUUGUACUCCUUCUUGAUAUAACAAAGGAAACUGCAUACAUUGACAAUAAGUUAUCAUCAGAGAAGCUGAUAUGAUCCUCGUCAGAAGCAUAAGCAUUUAUCAUAAGCUGCUAAUGUAUAAGCCGUUUUUAUGACAAAAGAUACAAUAAAGUUAAACUGUUUGCUUACAACUUAUAGGUUGUUUUCAUAAGCUAUCUAGAAGAACUUAUGGAAAUAACUGAAAACAAUUUAAGGAUGUCAUAAAUUGUUUCUACAAAUUCUCCUAAAGAGUCUCGCAUAUGAUUAAAAAGGUAUAUAAACUCAAAUAAGUCAAUCUAAAUAGGUGCUAAAUCUAGUUCUGAUGCAAGUAUUAUGUAAUCAUGAGUACUACCGCAGGUUAUUUGUUGAUUUUCUUUUUUGUGGUUUCUCUUUGCUCUUAUAUCAAAACAGCAAGCUAGUUAAUGACUGAACAAUAGUGCAUAUUGCAUAUUUGUCACAACCAAAAGAUGACCUACAAAUCAGAUGGUGAUGAGAAACUGACCUUCAGACAGUACCGAGCGGAUACAUCCUGAUCGAAUACACCGAGAGCGAUCACAGGAAGUGACGAAAAGAAAACAUUAUAGAGAGCUAAAAACCAGUCAUUGUAUGCAGGUAUUCCAGAGAAUGAUGCAUAAACCUCAUAUAAGAAUAGUGUGAAACCAAAUGUGAUGUUCUUGUAGAAAAAAUAGCAUAUCUGUAAGAAAAACAAUGAACAAAAAGUUAACACCACCAAUGAGGUUUCUAUACAUAUUUUGGAACUUCUCUAUAAUCUAGAGAUUCAAUUAUAGGCUCAUUAAUACCAUUGAUGAGAUCCUCCGGUAACACCAAUGUCCGUGCACAAGAAGUAAUCGUUCCAAAUAUCGGAAUUGUGCAAUUGCGAUAUCACUAGACAUAACAGCCUGUGAGAUUAGGAGGAUAAGAAAGAAAAUGUUGUUUAGAAUACAGCAUGUAAAAGUAAAAAAGAAUUAAAAAACCAUGAAUAUUGUGUGAAUUUUCACAGCACCUGCAUUCCUUCAACGCCGCUUAUACCAACCCCGAUAUCAGCUUCUUGAAGCAUUCCCACAUCAUUAGCUCCAUCGCCAAUAGCUAAUGUUGUUUUCCCAGUUCCAGAUUUGACCAAUCUAGUGACCUUGAAAAAUGUAAUUCUUAAUCUAGUGACCUUGAAGAGAAAAACUAGAUAAAUUAUUUCUAAAAAAUGUAAGCAAAGGAUAGGUUGAAAAAUACCAGUGCUUUCUGCUUGGGGGAUGAUCGACAGCAAAUAACAGAUGCACAACGAAUGGCAAGCUCCAGAAACAUGUUCUUCAUAUCAUCCUCAAGUGCAUAAGCAAGUGAUUUGCCAUCAAUUAUUAGAGCAAAUUCCUGGUGAGAGAUCCCUCUGUGUGCAGUAAGCUGUGCAGCACCUUCACAUAUCUGUAAGAGGACACUCUGUCUUGAUGUCUAAAAGAUGAAUCAGAAAAAAAAAUAAAAAAUCAGGAUACAAAUUCCCAACUCUAUAUAGUAUCGUCAUUAGUACACUAACAUACCAUAGAAUCAUAUUAAUUGAGUCAAAGACAAGUUUUAAGGUUAAAAAGUAGAUUGAAAGGAACAAAAUAAUGAAAAACUUAAAGCAGCAAAAAGGUUAAAUGUACCAAGCAAAAUCAAACAACUCUAAGCAUACCAGCUUGUAAUGCCAAGCUAAUGCAGUUAUUCGUAAUUCUUAAUAUAAUAUAAUAUAACUUUCCCAAAGAGCUUUGUUCAGAAAACCAGAAUGGAAUAUAAGUUCAAAAUGUCAGAUAUCUAAGGGCCUGACUGAAUUAGUUUAUUUGAGUUUAUCUAUCGGAAUAAACACUUGUGAGAUUAUUUGGGAGAACUUAUGAAAAUAGCUUAUUAUGACAUGUUUGUAAGCUGUUUCCAGCUUAUUUCCAUAAGCUCUUUAGAGUAGCUUACGAAUACAAUUCAUAAGUUAUACGAAAAUAAUUUGAUUUGAUUAUAUCUUUUGUAUAGAAAGAGCUUAUGCAUAAGUACUUAUACGAUAAGAAAUUAUAUUAUAAGCACUUAUGUUAUAAGUGCUUAAUUAAGUUGUAUAUCCAAAUAAGGCCUAGGGCAGAUUAAGCCGCCAUGUCAACUAUAAUAAUAUAUUUUCCUGGAAUAUUUUGACGUUGAAGAGAACAAACUUAUUAACACGCAUGCCCAAAAUACACAUUAUACUUUCUAUAUACAAGCUACACCAUGGUAGAUAAAUAAAUAUAUAAAGAGAUGAAAUUUUUUUCUUUACCUUGGUAAUAGCUAUCUUGUCCCCAUCCUUCUCCAAUGCUUGAAUUUCGGGACUAUCCAAAUGAAUUAUAAUCUGUUUCAUUCCUUGUCUAAGCAAACUACAAGCAAAGCUGCAAUGGAGAAUUUAUAUCAGUUAACUUGAAAAGCAAUUCUCAUAGGGUGAAGCCAUACUACAAAAUGCAUAAUAAUAUUAUUAGUAUAAUACCCAACAUUGAUUGCAGUCUCCAUUUUAUCCCCAGUCAAAACCCAAAUCUUAAUUCCUGCUUGAGUAAGCUUGUCAAUGCAAUCAGGAACCUUGAAAAGAAAUACAAGAGCCUUCGUUAACGGUCUCAUUCCAAUGACUAAUCGUCAUAAGUAUAGAAUGUUUUUUUAUUCUAACUCACCCCAUUUUGGAGCUUGUCCUCUACAGCAGUGGCACCAAGAAGGAUUAGGUUCUUUUCGAUAUUAUCAGAUACUUCCUCAAUCAGUGUUUCCCAAUUGGAACUAACUAAAUUUUUGGCCUUGGAGAAUUUGUUAUCGAACUCUUUGUAUUCUUGUGGGUCAAGUUCACGAUAGGCAAGUAUAAGGGUUCUUAAACCUUCAUCAGCAUAAUCAUGCACAUGCUCCAUGGUUUUCUCUUCAAACUCCCUCCCAUUCUUGGCAAGUCUUUCAAACAUGACACUGUGUGGAAAUAUCACUUCAGGUUUGUCAAUAGGUGAAACAAAAAGGUCAUAGGUAAGCAUUCAAAAUCAUUUCAGGUUACAUAGAUAUGUUUAUCACAAACCUGUCGGCACCUUUGCAGAGUAGUAAAGUUUUUCCUUCAUCGUCUUUUACUAUUACCGACAUUCUCUUCCUUGAGCUAUUGAAUUCUAAAACGUUGAGAAUCUUGUACAUCCUGCAAAUUGAAACUAGUUACUGAAAAUAUCUAUCAUUGAGAUGAAAGAAAAUAAAAAAACACAGUAGCUAUAAUACAGCCUUUUAGAAGUAUAAGCAUCAGUUAGCAUGUAUAAAGUGAAAACCUUAUGUCCUAAAAAGUAUAAUUAUGCAGGAAAUAAAUAAGGCUUGUUUUUUGACAGAAGGAAAUAAAUAAGACUUGGAAAACAAUUGAACCAUUUUUUUUUACAAAUUUAGAUCUUUAAAACAUCAUAAAAGUGUAAGCCAAAAGCACAAAAUUUACAAACUCGCCUAUUCUAUAAGCAACUAUAGUCUAGUACUUUUUAAUAAUAAGGCUUUUUAUUUUUUUUACAUAAGGAAAUAAAUAAGACUUGAAAACAAUUGAACCGUUGUUUUUUUAUAAAAUUGGAUCUUUAAAACAUCAUAAAAAUGUAAGCCAAAGCCACAAAAUUUACAAACUCACCUAUUCUAUAAGCAGCUAUAGUCUAGUACUUUUUAAUUGAAAAGUACUCGUUGUCAUUUUUAAUUGAAAAGUACAUAUUGUCAUUAGAUGAUAAGCUAUUGUAAAGUUACAUCUGCCCAUAUUAAAGAUACCCAUCCUAAAGCUUUGUGUGUCCGUGUACAGGGCACUGCUGCAAAUCGCGGAUUGUGAAAAAUAGAGAUUUGUUCAAAUUUUGUUACGCAACAAUACUAUAACGCCACUAUUUGACAAUAUUUUGUACUAAAUGGUGUAUCGUGGAACAAUAGUGAUUUGUUCAAAUUCUGCUAAAUUACAGCACAGCUAUUUAACAACACUGGUGCAGGGAAAAAUGUAGCAGCAGCAAUAAAUUUCAAAGCAAUUGAAAAAACCGACCUUUCAACUUUCUUUCCCGAAACUGGAUCUAACUCGAACGUCGAUAUACUAGUCUGAGCCCUUCUAUAGAAUUCAAAACCAAGUUCUCUUGCGGCAAUAACAAAUGCUGCUUCAUCCGGAGAUUCAGCCUCGUACGAGACAUUUCCUGAGUCUUUAUCUACUUCUGGUAUGGCUGUAUGACAGACUGCCAAGAGGCGAAAAAACUUCUGGAUAAUAUCUGCACGAGGCUCAUUAACCCAAUUUCCAUUCAUUAUUCUUUCAUCGGUGAAGUUAAAACCUUUUAUAGCUGCUUUUUUAUCAAGAGAACCCCUGACGUCAUCCGCUUCUGAUAUAUCACGCUCAUGAACGAACGGCAAACCUUUUCUUCUACUCAUGGUCUUCUCGACCUCGGUAACACCACGGCCAUACGCUACACCAGCAAUGGAACAUUUGAUGAAUUCCAUUGAGUUGCACGUCAAAGUUCCAGUUUUAUCAGAAAGUAUUGUGUCAACUUGGCCAAGCUCUUCAUUCAAGUUAGAAGUGCGAGCAUGGGCCGGUUUGUCUGCAUCUUUGUAGUACAUAUGGAUAUCUUGAUUGAUGAAACUGCUUUGAAGGACUUUCACAAUUUCUAUUGACACAUACAAAGAGAUGGGAAUAAAGAAGCCAUACAACAUUAAGGCUGUCAAACAAUGAAAUACAGCAGCGGAGGCCGAUCUUUUCGGAUCAAAGAAAAUCGUAGAAUGGUCAGGCCUUAAAUACCAUCUCUUAGCCAACCCGUUUCGAAAGUCAUCUUUAGUUAAGAAGCCAAAGAAAAUAGAUCCAACAGACGCCAUUAGAAACAAAAUACAAAACAAGAAGUAGAUGAUUCUAUCCAUCUUCUUCUCAACUCGGCUCCUCUUCGAAGGUGGAUCGGUAGAAUUCUGAAUGACCUUAGUGUCAUGACCAGUGAAGAUGACAGCUCCAAAAAUAUAGUCUGUAUUACGAAGUUUAGAGUCUCGCAGAAGAAGUUGCUGAGCGGAAAGGGCAUACUUUUGCUCUCCAAACUCCAUGCUCCCAACAAACGAGUACAAAUUUGCAUUCGGAUCUUCGCAUUUGACAGUAGCUUUAAAUUUUUUGAAGUUGAGAUCCUCAUGUAAGGAAGAAGUUACUUCUAAACCUUGUUUUAACUUCAAAUUUGUCUCCCCAUCCAAGUUCAUCGUCUCAACAUAGCAGACCGCAUCCUCGUAACUGGAUGAAAGCAAUACGAGGUCUGCCGGGAAGAACUCGUCUUUCUCUACCUUCACUAUAUUCCCUACCCUCAGAUUCUUCCAUGCAGUAUAUUCAAAAAUUCCAUCAAUUUUAUGAACUUUAACUCUUCUAUUGUUCACUUCAAUAUCCUGCAUGAGAAUUCCAUUCAAAAUUACACACCUACCUUGAAAUCAUAGCUUUCCAUAAAAUAAUUCUACAUGAAAGACUAAUUUAAGUAAUUAGAUUAGAAACACUACAUGAAAAAUAUUCUACAAACAUUAAAUCUAGAACUACCAAAAUUCAACUCCCCCAGCAACAAAAAAAAAAAAAACCAUAGACACCAUUUUGGAUAGAGGGAUUAUUUUAUCAUAUGCAGGCACACUUAGAAAAUAUAACUCAUGUGUUACUAACCAUUGAUUAAAAAUAACAAUUUACAUUUUCAUAUAAUGCAACCAAAUCACUGGCAUUUUACCCUACAAAGUGAUGCUAAUUUAGCAGAUUAAAACAUUUUACCACAAACUGGAAUCAUUUGAACAAACAACUAAGUAAUUAAACUUCAUCCUUUCCAAACAAAACCAAGAAACUAAACAGAAAAGCAACAAUAUUCCAUAAGCUGCUAGCCACACUUUAUCCUUUUGGUAAAGUACUUCAUGGAUGGCCUUGUAAAAAGACCACAAAUUUUAUAAUUAUAAUAUAAUAACUGAUAUUAUUAAAUACUUCAUCUUCCUUUAUGUUUUAUAUACACUCUAAGUUAAAACAUAAUUUAAAUGUAUGCAAAAUAGUGUGAUUCAUAGGAAUCUACACAGUUGUGCUGCAGGGUAGAAAAAAGGGCAAAAAGGUUCCAAAAAAAUAAAAAUAUAUAACUAUAUAAAAUUAAAUCCACAACAGAAAGUGUUGGUAGUUAGAAUAUCGUACCUGCUUUUUCCUACGCCAAUCUUCAAUACCUUCUUUGACAAUAGUAGCUCCAAUAACAACAACAAGAGGAAGAAUAGCACUACCAGCACUAUAAGGAGCAAGUUUUGUGAAAGCCAAAACACCAGUAACCAAAAAAUAGAAAUUAGCAACUCUCCUAAACUGUUCAAAAAGUGAUUUUGGAAGGAAAGUAGCAGCAGUAUAUUUUGUAGAUCUCACACAAUUAUCUGCAUACUCAUAAUAGUUCCUACUACUCCCAAUUUCCUCAACACUACUAUCUGUUUCAUUGCAUAACACCACUCUUGAAUAGCCUUUACCACCAAUCUGUGCAUGAUCUCCAUCAACUGAACUUGCUUUACAACAUGUGAAUGAAUAGAUCUUGCUUAAAUGUAGCUUCCUAUUUCUCUCACCCCUCAUUCCUUUUUAUUAAUCAACUGAAAUUCAAAUUCAAAGUAAAAAUGAAAAUGAAAAUAAAAUAAAAUACCCUUUUAGAUGAAAUAAUUGAUUUCCAAUUGUCAAUGGCAAACUAGAAGUAAAAAUUGUAACUUUCUAUAACCCCAAUUUCCAAAGCAAGGUGACUGACAAAAAAGACUUAAUAACAAGUUUAGUAUGAAGUGCAAAAAAUAGUCCUGAAAGUUAUGAGAUUCUUAAAAAGUUUUCAACAACUACACAAUAACACAAACACCUCAUAAACAAAACGUCAUAAACUCAACCAAUAGCACAAAUACACAUCAAAGAAAAUACAAAAAAUCAUUAAAAAUAAAUAAAUAAAGAUGCUAAACCCCAGAAAGGUUCCAACCAGAAAAGGCUAAAAAAAUCUAUAAUUUAAUAAACAAUGAAUGAAUAACAAAGAAACUGAAAAAUUUAAGGAAAAAAAAAAGUGAUUAAGCGAUACACACAACUCAGAACCGAAUUAAGCCUGCAAUCACUUACUACACUGUAGUAGUGGAUAACAGUUGUAAAAAAAUUCCCAGAAAAAGACACAAACCUAUGAACCUAAAACAGAAGAAAAGUGUCGGCAACAGAAAGUUCUAGAAGGAAUAUAAAAUCUGAAGAUUUGAAAAACAGUACUGACUCAAAAGGAGGAAGAAGAUGAAUUUGACUAUAAUUAGAUCUCACAUUUUCAUUUCAGAAAAAGACAACCAUUUCACUUUCACGACAUUGCAAAUUUAAAUUGAGCUCUAUUUUUUUUCCCCAAAGAAAGCGAAAAAUCCACUUUUCUUUUGCAAGGGAAAAUAAAGUGGCAAAAUGCUAACACAGAUUUCCAAAAAAAUAAAUAAAAACAAAGUUGUUUACUUUUUCUUUUCUCUUUAUUUUCGCGGGAAAAAAGGUGUGAAUGAAGCUCGUUGUCAAUGGUGGUGACUGAAAAAGUGUCACUUUCAAUUUCAAUUUUUCCUUUUUUUUUAUUUUCUCGUUAUAUCCUUUUACAACGAUAAUCGACACAAUUGAUUUGUACAGUUAAUUUAUCAUCACAAUUACAAUUAUAUGGUCAAAUAAUAAAAUCAACAAUUUUUAUUAAUUAUUAAUCAGAGAUAAAACAGGUGUAUCCUAACAAUGCUACAAACUUUUUCUCAAAAUAAAUUAAAAUAAAAAAUUAGACAUUAACUUACCUUGUUCAAUUGAACAGUUCAAUCACAGAAUCGCCGUGGUUUUUUAACUACAACAGAGUUGCAGAUUUUUUUUAUUAUAUUAUUAUGAAUAUUGAAGGAAGUUUUUGUUUAGGUUUUUAAUUUUAUUUUUUAUUUGUACUACUAGUAGUAAGUAGUUGAGUGUGUUUGAUUUUGAUAAACAUGAGAAUGCGCCGUCAUUUAUUUGUAUUCUUAACAUGCUCAUGUUGUUUGUUGACUAUUCAAUUCAUUUAUGUUUUGAACCAAAACAUGUUUUCUUUGUUUCUCAUUUAUUGUUACUUUUUCACCCUCCUCUUUUGGUGCUUCCUAGUUAUUUGCUAAAAAUUCACCUAUUUUUUCUCAACUUUUUUCUUUUUUCUAUUUUCGGUAUAUAUUUAUAUAACCACUAACUAACAUUGACCGUUUUACAAAAAAAAAAUGAUUAUUAUAAAAAAUGUUACCCCACAAAUAAAUGCUUAUUAAAACAAUUAGAAGCAAUUGAUCUUUGAGUAAUUAAUUUCACCAAAUCAUUUUAAAUUUGUGAAAAUUAUUUCUUUGUUGAUGUCAUAUUUUGGAAUGCAAUAAUUUCGGUCAAUUCAAAUCAAUUUGACCUAUUAGCUAUAAAUUGUUUGUACUUUUUUUUCUAGAUGGACUUCAAUGUCGUUGUAUUUUCCUUCUCCUUUUCUCUUGUGCUUAAGAAAACCAACUGGCCAAAAUUUAUGAUUUGGGUGUUCAUAUUGAUUGGUUCUUGCAUAUGACUUGUAGUUUCUUCCUCCUUUUUCUCAAGUAGUAUUGACUAUUGAGUAUUGCAUACAAAAGAUUAUUGCACCUUCAUUAUAUUUUGUUUGUAUUCUCUUUGAUUUCAAUUUUUUAAUGGCUAAUGCAUUUUAGUAGGUACAUAAAGUGUUAGUUCAGUAAUAACUUAUAAGAAGGUUGUGAAAUUAUGUUAGUACACUUUAAAUAAUAAUAAUAAUAAUAAUAAUAAUAAUAAUAAUAAUAAUAAUAAUAAUAAUAAUUUCUCAUUUUCAAUUUUUUAAGAGUUAAUAUAUAUUAGUAUUAUGUUGUGGAUGAAUACAAAAUCAGCAACAUCUAUUCUACUUUUUAACUACUCCAUCCACAGUGAAUCAAAUUUAUAUCUUUUGGUUUUAUUAUUUGUAGCUCUAUUUAAUCUUUCAAUCCGGUUUUAUUAUUUGUAGCUCUAUUUAUUCUUUCAAUCCAUUGACUAGCAAUAUUUUUUUACUAAAAAAAAUUAUAUUCAUUCUAAUUAAUAGCAUACAUCAAUAAAAAAAAAAAACAACACAAAUUCAACAUUAUUAAAACUAAAUAAAUAAUGAAUCAGUGAAAAAAAAAACUCAUGUCUCUUGAUCAAACAUGUAAAUAUAUAAUUGAACACAACUUCAAUCUCUAACUAGGCUCACAAUCUAGACAACCAAAAGAAUGAAAGUGUUACAAUUUUUCUCCUAAACAAAAUUUUGUCCUCAAAAUUUCUGUAUUGAUAUAAAGUAAAAAUUAACGUGUGUAUAAAGCUCUCUCAUUUUACUCUUUAGCUCCCUAAUACUAGUUAGUACUUUUCACAAUUGCUUCACUCUAGAUUUCCUUUACCAAUAGAAUAUUUUUUCAUCUAUAAGCUUUGAUAUUUGAUUCCCACCUUGGCUAACUUCCUUUACUCUUUGGGUGGCUUCUAAGAUGAUGGCUAAAAUAAAUCCCUCAUUUGUGGAGCAGAGUGAAAUUAUGAUGCAGAUAUUUAAUAAUUUUAUUAUAAAAAUUAUAUUACGUGAUUCAAACUAUUUGAAAUUCUACUUGAUUAUGGUUUAUGAAUUAUGCAUAUCAAAUAACAUAUCACAGUGGUAUUGGCUCAUAAGUUAUGCAUAUUAAAUAUCAUAGUUUUCAUGUAUAUUAUAAUAGUAACAAGAAAUAUUCAAUAUAUUGACAGUAGAAUGUCUAUAAAUAAAUUAUUGGUCCUUAAUAUAAAAUAGUGAGUGAGAGAUUAAAAACUUGAAAAAAUCAAUAAUAUAAAAAAUUAAAACUCUUCCUCUUUAUAAUAAUGGCUAAAAGUAAUUAUUUUAAGAGUAUAAUUUAUUCUGUAUUAUGAAAUUAACAUUUCUGGUUUUUUUGUUUUUGUUGAGAUGUUAUAGUAAAUUUUUUACAAAAUAUUCCUAAAAUUAAUCUUGAUGUUAUAUUGUCACAUUUGGAGAGUUGUGAAACAGGCAUACAUGUAAAAGCACAGUGGACCUCUCAUUAGUUCACUUUUUUUAGAACUGGAUACUCUUGAGAGAAUAAUUGACAAUUGAGAAUAUAAUAAAAAAGAGGAAUCCUUAGUAUCAUUAAUAGUAUAUAUUUACGUAAGAUUCUUGGCUUAUCCUUUUGGCCUUUUGUCAUGUUUACCACACAAGACAGGAAAGUCAUCGCAACUACAAUAUUAAUUAACUUUUAUUUUUUAUUUUUUUAUCUUUGGAUUUUUGUUUGAUUUUACGAUAAUAAAAAUUAAUUUUGUCUAUAUAAGGUUCUUUUUUUGUCAGUUAAAAUUGAUUUUUAAAAUAUAAAAUUAAUUUUAUUAUUUGAAUAUUAUUGAGUAAAAUUGAUUACUUAAAAAAAAUUCUGAAAUUCGUUCUAACUUAAGUUAAAAUUUAUAGUUGAUAAAUUCAAACAUAAUUUUUGCAUUUAAAUUUAUAAUUCAAUACACUUUUAUAAGAAUAUAUUUAAUUAUAAAUUAUUUUACUUUCAAUUCACUUUAAAAUAAAAUCAAAUUGUUACCGUAAAACCUAGCUAAUAGACAAAUAUAAAAAGUGAAUUGUACCAUACUGCAAAAUCAAUUCAACUUAUUAACAGAAAAAAAAUGUCAAUAAUUAUUCCAAUUAUGAUAUCUUUAAAAAUAAAACCAUGCAAACUUUAGAUAUUUAGAUUAAGAUAUUUAAUUUAACAACGUGACAACCAAAAGCUUAUAAGGUAGGAGAGUUGUUCAACAAACCAACGUAAAUCGGAUUUUGAUCCAUUAUUACCAAAUUAAUUUGCAUCACCACGAUGUGAGACAAUUGCUCCAUGUUUAGAACAUAUAUGUCAUUGUACAUGUAGUGGUUUGAAUAUAUAAUUAGGAUGAUUAGAUAAGAUAAUAAGAUAAUCUGUAUUAGGUCUUUAAUAUUCAGAUUAAUUAAAUUAUUUAAUUAACGAAGAAGCUUUUACUUUUACUUUUCUCCUUAUUAAUAAAAAAAUUUUGUCUACGUAAACUUAUCAAUUAUUUAAGACACGUAUUGUGGAAUAAUCAUAUCAAAUAAUGUGAUAAAUUUAAUUUGAUAAUCCAAAAAUAUCUGCCACUAGUCGUCUUUGAAUCUUGACUUGUUAAUAAAAAAUCUAAUUGAGAUGAAACUAUCCGCUACGUGUAUCUCAUAUUAUAGUCGCUGUAAAAAGUGAUUAAUCUUUGCGUGUAAUUCUAUCACACAAUUAAAUAUUUAUUACAAAAACCCGAAUUUGAAUUAUGCUAUUGAUAUAAAGGUUUGUUGGAGAUAAUAUAUAAUCAAAAGAGGAAUUCUUAUAGUGAGUAAACUAAUUCUAUAAACUAAAUAUUAUUGUCAACAUGAAUUUUGCGAAACUAUACUUUCCAACUUGUAUGUCAUCGCACGUUUGGUAGCCUUUUAGAUGCAAUUAGUUUUAUUUUAAAAUAAUGGAUCAAAACUAAAUAUAUGCAUUACCAUAAUAAAUUUGCCUAUCUGAUCAGUCCAUUACAAAAUAGUUAAUUGCGUGCGAUUUUUAUUGUUCCUCAAUCUCAAUUCAACACAAUGUAUUUAUUUUGAAUAUAAUAAUUUUAAAUUCAAACAAACAAAACUAUUAUAAUGUAUUACAUUCUUUGUACUUUCAAACAAUAGAAUGAAAAUUUUAUUCUACAAUUACGACAUAAAAUAUCUAAACAAUAAAAUAAAAUAUUUGUUUUAUUUUGUUCCGUUCUAUUUCAUUUUUUUCCUCUUAUUUUUAAAUAUCUCAGUCUUAAACUCCACAAAAGAGAUUAAAUAGGUUACACACCUUCUUCAAAAACUACAUUAAAAAAUAAAAUAAAAAAUAAAUGGAUGACUAUUUAGUUAUACUUCAGUUGCUUCUUUUUAUUGUCCAAGGGAGUCCAAGGGAGCCUAAUAUUCGAAAUGAGCUAAACAAGGAUUCAUAAGAGACUUAGACACCACAUUUCAACUCAAAACCUUAAGGCAAUAGGUUUAUGGGUCAUUGUACUUAUAUAUCCAAUAUAGCCUCCAUUCCUGGUCAAUGUGGGACGCCUCCAUUCCUAGUCAAUGUAAGACUAACCACUCAUAAUUAAAUUCCAACAUACUAACCACUCAUAAUUGAAUUCCAACAUAUAUUGAUCUCUAAAGUUAAAAAAUUUCACCCAAGAGCCAUGUUUUUUUUUUUUUUUUUUUUUUUUUUUUUUUUUUUUUUUUUUUUUUUUUUUUUUUUUUUUUUUUUUUUUUUUUUUUUUUUUUUUUUUUUUUUUUUUUUCUAUUGGUGAAGUUAGUUAACAAAAGCGGUACUAAUGUUUACUAUUAAAUUAGCACUUAUAGGAAAGAUAACACAUAAGUUGUAUGAUAAAAUGCUUCAACCAUUCCACUACCUAGUUUAGUCUUAAGACGGAUUCGAUGUUAUUUUUUGUACCAUUAUGCAUUAUAAUUUGAUAUUAGGUACUAUGUUCAGUUUGAUUGUUAAGUGAGUAUGAAGUUCUAUGCAUUUCCAUUUUUUUUAACUCUUGUAUUUUUUAAUAUUAUUCAAUUAAUAUUUAAUAUUAUUCAAUUAUUGAUUUUCACACUUGUUGACCAGCUACUGGGCUAUUACAGUAUGAUACAAGAAAAAAAAUGUUAAUUUGCUGCACUAAGAUUCAAAUUUUGCUCAAGAUGAUAGGAAAUUUAAUUUUGAAAUCUUACAGUUUCCUCUGUUUUUUUUUUCAAAACAACAUAGCUUGAUUGUGGAAUAGAAAAAGCAGUUGGUUGCUUGGUAAAUGAUAGUGAACUUAGUAAUAUUUUUUUUAUCAAGAUUAGUUAUGUCAUAAUACUUCGAUUUUAUGAAAAAAGGGAAGGUUAAUUGAAUGAAUAGUGAUAAUGUAAAUGUAGACUGUUGUUGAUAGUGUGAGAAUGAUUGUUGUUUGAUUUGAAUCCUUAAUUGUGUGUCUUAAUUUCGGUCAUAUAACCAAAUCAUAUUGUUUGUGUUUUUUAUCUAAAUUCAGUUAGGAAUAUGAUAUUGAGUUUUUAAAUGUUAAGAUAACAUGUUAUUUGAGUUUUUAUAUUUUUAAGUUGAGGAUAGUCUAAUCUUUUUAUGUUUUACGAUAUUUUUUUUUUAUAAUUUUUAAAUUCAUAAAAUUUAAUAUUCUAUUUUAAUCAUCUUUUAUUUUUUGUUUUAUGCGUGAUUACCUAUAUUAUAAACAAAUAUUUUAUAAGAUUUUAAAUAUAAGUAAAAGUGGCCACUAUAAAAUGCAUCAACCUUGUGUUUGGUUCCAAUUACUAUAUUAUACAUUCGAUGAAUUCAAUCAUACUUUUAAUUUGAAAAUAAUUUACCAUUUAUUGAAAGUAAAUGCUCUAUUAAGAUUUUUUUGGUCUGUUUUUCAAUAGGGUUAUAUGUGUCUCCAAGACCAUUCAAGAAAACAUGACAUAUAUGACUCUGUGCCUUUUGACCGUCUUGAUUAGAUCAUAGUCACAUUUGAUUCUACUUGAUUUAAUGCAUUUCUUUUAGCAAAAUUGAAACGUCUCUUUUAGCUUAUUUUAUCGUAUGCAUUGAAUUUUUUUAAACAAGUCUAAAUUCCUGAUAUGAUAUCUUUUGAGAAUCUUUCUUUGAGGUCAUCCAAAGGACUUUACAAUUCUUUCAUAGUAUUAGAGAGUAUUUUUAUAUUUUAAGUGAUAGGAUAAAAUAAUGUGUAUAGUAUAAAAUAUUCAUAUUAAUUAAAGUGGUUGAAAUUAGUAGUAGUAGAUAGACUAUUUAAUUAAAGACUUAAAUUUAUGGUUGGCUCAUAAUAUUGUGAUUUUUAAAUUUUAGUCACUGUUUAUUUUAUUUUAUUUCGGUUGAUUUUGGUUCCUUUACAUUUUGAUGACACAUAACUCAAUGCCAACAUUAAUUUCUAUUAAAAUGCAAAACAAGGAGAUUUAUGAUUUGAAGUAAUAAGAAAUUUGCUUAUUUAAUUGUCACCCUAAAUAAUAUUAGUUAUUAAUAUUAGUCUUUGAACAAAAAAUUAAAACCUAAUUAGGGAUUUGUUCCCUCUCAUAUGUCAUUUAUUUAUUUGUAUUUGUAUUUAUUUUAUUUUUUAGGGUUAAAGUCAUGUGGACAAUAUUGGUAAGAUGUCAAUGUCACAUCAAUAAAUUGAGUUAUCUCAGUGUAAUUUUAGAAAAAAUUAAGAGGAAGACUCUCAAAUUAAAAAGAAAAAAAAAAGGACUAAAAUCACUAAAAAAAAAAAAAGAAGAGAUUUUUUUUACAAGAAAAAAGAUAAGAUUAAAAAUUGCAAGAUCUCAAUAUUUUGACCGAUAUAAAAGUGAAUUUAAACCUCAAUUUAAUGAGAGUAUGAGAGUGAUGAAAAGUUGAUAAAUGUUAUUUUAAUAUUAUAAAUUAAAGAAUAAUUUUAAACAAAUAAAUAUUAUAAAUAUGACUUAUAAUGAGGUGGAAGUAGUCAUUAAUGAAACCACAAUGGGAAAAGUCAUGACCAUGAUUUAGAAUAGGAAUCUCUUCAUUCACGAACAACUUAUUACUUGAGUUGAAUGGCUUUUUUUUUUUAAAUAGUUCAUAUUAAUAGUUAAUUAUUAAUUUUGCUAGAGGUGGAAUAGAAUUCAUUAUCUCAUUGCCACUUCAAUUUCUCUAAACUAUAACAAGAACAAUUCUUAGAUUUUUUGCGUGAUCUAGAUAGUAUGGAUUGAGAGAAUUUGAGAUUAAUUUGCGACAUUUCCCUAUUGAAAGUAGUUUGUGUUGCUUGAACAUGUUUUAUCCAUGAUUGAACUAUUAAGGAACAAUGAAGCUAUAGUUUGAGUAAUCAAAGGAAGGAGAUGAAAUAAUGCAGGAAAUGGAGUAGAGUUGUACCACGAGCAAGAAAAUUCCACUUUAAUACCAAGUAGUAAAAAAUAUAUAGUAAACUCUUAUUGACAUAAAGAGGAAAAAAUCACAAUAAAAAUUUUCUCUAAUUUUUUUUUAACUUUUAACAAAUACAAUCAAGACUUGUAUUUUGAGGAAGUGAAACAAAUCUAAUUGUUUAGUAAGAGAAUGCUGUUACCACCGCGGUGACACUUCUAAUCCAAUUGAACUUGUAAUUGUUUAGGAUUUUUCAUUCACUUGUUUUGAGGCACGAAUAUAUUUGAUUUUGCUUUACUAAUCUAUAAAACAAAAUUUAAAUAAACCAUUAGAAUAAUUUUAAAUAACUUUUUCAAUUGAAAAGACAAUUUAAUAAUAAAAAACACACCUCCAAUUGAACAAUUUUGUAAUUGUUCAGAAUUUCUCAUCCACUUGUUUUGAGCCGCAAGUAUAUUUGAUUUUGUUUCACUAAUCUACCAAACAAAAUUUAAAUAAACCAUUAGAAUAAUUUCAAAUAAUUUUUUUUAUUGAAAAGGCAAUUUAAUAAUAAAAACACACCUAAAUCAGAAAAACAGUCUCUUGCCACCAUGCUCCUGGUACAACAAUUUCAUGUCAAUUAUCAUCAAUUAUACACAAUGAACACAACUGUUAAACCAACAACGAUUUCAUGUCAAUUAUCACCAAUUAUACAUACAUACAUAUAUUACCCAAUAUUUUGGAAAUAUCUCACAAUCCCCCACCAUUUUCAAAAUAUACUUAGUACCAUAAUUUUAAAAAUAUCAUGGUUUCAGAUAAUGGUAUCUUACGAUUUGAACCACUACUUAGUAAGCUAUGGGUUCCACUUAUCCUGAAUAGAUUGGUAGACAAGUUUUGAACCAGUUAUUCAUUAGAACAAGUGUGCACAACUUACACAUAAAAUCUCAAUACUAUCGAAACAAUUAUAAAGAUGACACAUUUGUUAAGGUCUUGUGUCAUGUACCCUUUUCAUGAGAAUUUAAGAGUCAAACCCUUUAACUCUCUGAAGCGGCCUCACUUCAUCCUCACAUAGAUAGACUAUAUCAAAAAUACACCCAUAUAUGUAUUUCAACAAAUUUAUGCUAUAUGUCUAUUAAGAGUAAAACUCAACCUUCCAACUUUAUACUUAUGGUCCAAGUACUUUCAGCCUUUGGGAUGUAUCUAUAUUUAAGUACUUGCAAUCAUUCUAAUAGUGUACUUUUAUCAUUGAACUCAAGACUUGAUGUUACUCAAGUGUGAGUCGAUUUUCCACCAUUGAUGAUUAAUUAGAUAUGGGCUUGAGUCUCAUCCUCAAUGAUGUUUUCAACACCAUGUCCCUUGUCAGACCUUUUGUCAAACGAUCUGCAAGAUUAUUUUCAGUUCUUACAAACACAAUGGAUAUUACUCCAUUUAUAAUUAAAUCAUUUACAUAGCUAUGUCUUAGACCAAUAUAUCUAGAUUUUCCAUUAUAUACUUGGCUAUAUGCUUUGGACAGUGUGAAUUGACUAUCGCAAUGUAUGUAUACUAGUGUCAUUGGCUUUGGCCAAAUUGGUAUCUCAUAUAAUAAAUUUCUUAAUCAUUCUGCCUCUUUACGACCUGCAGCUAGGGCAAUGAACUCUGCAGCCAUGGUGGAGUCAUCAAUGCAAGUUUGUUUCUUUGAUCCCCAAUAAACUGCACCUCCACCAAGGUUGAAGAUGCAUCCACUUGUGGAAGCAUGAUCCUCAACAUAAGUUACCCAACUGGCAUCUGUAUAUCCUUCCAAAACUGAAGGAUAUCCACUAUAGAUUAAACUAUAGUUAAUUGUUCCUUUUAAAUAUUUUAAUACUCUAUUAACAACCUGCCAAUGUUCUUUACUUGGAUUGCUAGUAUACCGACUUAAUCUGCCUACAACAUAUGCUAUGUCAGGUCUGGUACAGGUCAUGGCAUACAUCAAGCAUCCGAUUACCUUUGAAUAAUCUAGUUGUGCCACAAGGCAUCCUUUGUGGUUGUAAACUAACAUUUUGAUCAAAUGGAGUAUAAACAGGUUUGCAAUUAAAUUGAUCAAUUUUUUUUAGCACUUUCUCAAUAUAAUGAGAUUGAGAUAAACCAAUAUUUACUCCAUCUCUAAUGAUUUUAAUUCCUAAAAUUACAUCUGCUUCACCUAAAUCUUUCAUAUCAAAAUUUUUUGAUAAGAAAGUUUUAGUUUUUUCUACCUCAUCUAAAUUGGUGCCAAAGAUUAACAUAUCAUCCACAUAUAAAAAAAAUCAUAACACCAUUUCCAUCAUGAAAUUUACUAUAAAUACACUUGUCAGAUUCAUUUAUUUUGUUUCCAUUAGAAAGCAAAACUUUAUCAAACUUUUGGUGCCAUUGUUUGGGUGCUUGUUUUAACCGAUAUAAGGAUUUAGUCAAUUUAUACACUUUAUGUUCUUGCCCUUUGAUAACGAAUCCUUCAGGUUGUUUCAUAUACACCUCUUCAUCUAACUCUCCGUUUAGGAAAGCAGUUUUAACAUUCAUUUGAUGGAUUACAAACUUAUUGAUAGAAGCUAGUGCCAAAAGCACUCUUAUGGAUGCAAUUCUUGCAACAAGUGCAUAAGUAUCAAAGUAGUCGAUACCUUCUUUUUGUGUAAAUCCUAUGGCAACAAGUCUAGUUUUGAAUUUAUCAAUGGUACCAUCAACUUUCAUUUUCUUCUUAAAAAUCCAUUUACAAACCUAUUGGUUUGGAUCUAGGAUGGAGGUCUACUAAUUUCCAAGUUUUAUUCCCCAUAAUCAAGUCCAUUUCCUCUUGGAUGGCUUCUUUCCAAAAGGAAGAGUCUUGAGACUUUAUUGCCUCUUCAUAUGUGUCUGUGUCACUCUCUAAAUUGUAGCAAAUUGGUCCAUAACUGUUAAUGAAAUUAUUUGUACCUUCUACAAGAAACAUAAAGAAGUCUAGGCCAUAAUCUUUCUCUUUUCUGGCUCUUUUACUUCUUCUGGGUUCUGAACAUGACAAAGUAUCAUUAUUAGAUGCAUUAUUUUUCUAGACUUUGUACACUAGAACAUACAGUUUCCUUGGGAUGUGGAAUUGAGUUAAAUCUAUUUUCUUAAAAAAUUGCAUCUCUUGACUCAAUCACUGUGUUAAUAGGAUAUGAGUCAUUAGAUUCAACAACCUUGAAUCUAUAGGCCUUGCUAUUUUCAGCAUAGCCCAGAAAUACACUUUCAAUUCAUCUUUCUCCCAAUUUCUUUCUUUUUGGUUCAGGAACCUUAACAAUUGCUUUACAACCCCAAACUUUUAUAUAGUUAAGAUUUGGUUUUCAUUUCUUCUAGAGUUCAUAUGGGGUUAUCUUGCUCCUUUUAUUGGAAACUCUAUUUAGCAAAUAAGAUUGAAUUUUCUUUUCUUCCAGAGUUCACCCCAAUAACCUUUAGAUAAACCAGAAUAGGAUAACAUGUCAUUCACCAUUUCUUCUAAUACCCUAUUUUUCCUUUCUGCAAUUUCAUUUUGUUGUGGGGAAUAUGGUGCAGCUGUUUGAUGCACAAUACUAGUGGACUCAAAAUACCCAGGAUGAUAGAACUCUUCUCCCCUAUCACUUCUAAAACACUUAAUAAAAGUUUCAUGUUGAAGUUCUACUUGUGCUUUAAAUAUUUUAAAUUUGCCUAAAACUUCAUUCUUAGAGUGCAUUAAAUAAACAUAACAAAAUCUAGAGUAAUCAUCAAUAAAAGUGACAAAAUACUUUUUACCACCAAUUGUAGGCCAACCAUGUAAAUCGCAUAUAUCAGAGUGAAUUAAAUCUAAUACCUUAUAAUUUCUUUCAACAGUUUUAAAAGGGUGUCUUGUGAUUUUAGUUAGCAUGCAAGUAGUACAUGAAUUUGAAUUUUUAUCAAAAUUCAGAAUUAAAUUUGAUUUCAUCAUAUCAUUCAAUUUUCUAAAGUUAAUAUGUCCUAGUCGCAUAUGCCAUAAAUCACAAGACUCAACAAUAUAAGCAUAAAUCAUAUUAUUAUUAUAGUUACUAACAACAUUACAUUUGAACAUAUUCUCACAAAUGUAACCCUUCCCUACAAACAUACCACCUUUAGAGAGAAUAAACUUAUCUCCCUCAAAUAUACAUUUGAAACCAAACUUGUUAGGUAAAUGUACAGAAGUCAAGUUCUUCCUAACAUUAGCACUACAAGAAAAAAAAAAACGUUUUGCGGCGGUUAAAAAGGGGAUUUGCAGCGGUUGAAACCGCUGCCGUUUGAUGUUUGCGACGGUUCUGUAACUGUCGCAGAUUCGUGCGUCGCGAGACCAGUUUGCGACGGUUCACAAAACCGUCGUUCGAACCGUCGGCAAAAUUUGUGACGGUUCCUAACCGCCUCUAAAUACAGUUUGCGACAGUUAGAACCGUCGCUAAAAGACACUCAAAUUUAUUUAUUUCUGAACAAUAACGACAAUUAUCAACCGUCGCUAUAUUUAUUUUGAGGCAGUUUAAACCGUCGCAAACCUAAUAAUUUAAAAUUAAAAAAAUAUGAUACAAUUUUUUUUCUAUUUUUAAUCAAUUAAAAUAAGAAAUAUUUAUAAAUACCAUCCACAUAAUUUAAAUACAUAAUUAAUAACUAUUCCAAAAUAUAUAAUUUUUUCAAAAGAAAUAACACCAAUUCAUACAUUGAAGUUAACUAAAACAAUAACUAAAUUAGUUUAAAUAUUCAAAACAUUAGUGGAGUAGCUAAAAAUACAAAACAACUCCAUCAAACUUAGAAGUUCAUCCAAAUAUCUAAUUAGUCCCUAAUGAUGUUCCACGAUCAUCAGGUUGGUGGCUGGACUAAGAUGAACGUCUACCAUCUAUUGGCAAUUCUAUGUCCAUUGGCUGAAGAAAAAAAAAGUAUAUAUUAACCUCAACGAAUAUUGAUAAAUAUUGUCAAAACUAAUUAACUAAAUUUCUCUUAUAGCUAUAAGAAAUCUUUACACAAUUGAUAUUUUUAAUCAAAGAGAAACAGUUCUCACAAGAUUUUUAAAUAGGUUUGCUAUGAAAAUAAUUUUACCUGUUUGUCUCUAGAAUUUUGCAUUUGCAUCAAGAAAGCAAUUUGCUCCUUCAACAUAUCAACUUCAGAAUCCCUUUUCUUAAGCCUAUCAAUUUCAGCUUGCAUUUUCUCCAUCUUUUCAUUAGCUUCAGAGGAAGACAUUGAUCUUACAGAGUGAGAAGUAGAUGUAGUAAUUUGUGACGGUGUUAUUUCAAGUCCCAUACAACGAACAUAUCCAAGAUGUUCUUUUCCAAACACAUUAACAAAUGCUUCAUUUGGAUAAAGAGUCUUCCCAAUUUCAGCUUGCAAUUGUUCCUGCGCAAACAGAUAAAGCAAACUAAAUUCCUCUUUGUAACAGAAAUGUCUAACUUUGCAACUCACUAUUAAAAUUAUGCAAUUAUACAAUUAUUUUGAGACAAAGAAGUAGCAUUUUAUUUAGUCUCACUAAUUAACAUUAAAGGAACAAAACAUAACAACGUCAUACUCUUAGAAAAUAUUACCCGAUAAACAUUCAAAAUAUAGAACUAGACCAGGUAUAUAGUACUAGACAAACAAUAACAAAUUUUAACGUUAAAAAAAUAAAGAACUAAUUAACAUUAAAAAAAAUAAUUUACGAAGUUUAAAUUUUGAUAAAAUAUAAAGGAAGAAAACUGUAUUUCAACCUAUGUGUUUUUUGUACAUAAGAAAUUAAGAAAUCAAAAUAUAGUUUGACCAAGAAAAAAAUAUUAUCAUGUGACUAAAACAAAAAGAAUAUCAUGUAACAACUCAUAACACUUAAUGAUGAUCAGCUAGUAACACUUAAUGAUGAUCAGCUAAAAUUUAAUUAGUUCAAUUCCUUAUCUUCAUACAUUCUUUGCAUUGCUCUUAAUAAAUUAUAUCUCUUCUUCUCGCAUCAUGCUGUACUGCAACUUCAUCAAAAAAUUACCCACAAGACUUCUACAUGUAGUUAGUUAUGGCAAAAUAAAUUAGUUAUUACUUCAAUUCAAAUUUGAGGAAAAAUUCUUGCAAAACAAGUAAUAGAACUGAGAUAAAAAUGAAAACAAACGAAAUAAAACAAAAUACUUUACCAAAAGUAACCAAUUCAAAGUAAUCAUAAUUCUAAGAUUUUAUUAUAAUUCAUUUCAAAACCAAAUGUAAUUUCUAGUCCAAAUUUUAAAGACAGGAAAAAUGAUUACUCCAACCAAUAUAAUGUGCAAAAAGAAGUGAAAAAGAAUUGUGUAAUGUUAUUCAAAGAUAAAAUUUGCCACAAAUAAAACACUCACAUUUUAUUAAAAACAGAAACGUGAACCCCACUAUAUUUGGUACGAGUAAUAGAACUGAGAUAAAAAUGAAAACAAACGAAAUAAAACAAAAUACUUUACCAAAAGUAACCAAUUCAAAGUAAUCAUAAUUCUAAGAUUUUAUUAUAAUUCAUUUCAAAACCAAAUGUAAUUUCUAGUCCAAAGUUUAAAGACAGAAAAAAUGAUUACUCCAACCAAUAUAAUGUGCAAAAAAAAGUGAAAAAGAAUUGUGUAAUGUUAUUCAAAGAUAAAAUUUGCCACAAAUAAAACACUCACAUUUUAUUAAAAACAGAAACGUGAACCCCACUAUAUUUGGUACGGUAUUUGUUUUUGUGUUCUAUUUUAUGUCAAAUUUUGUGUUCUAAUAAUAUUACUCAUUUGCUAAUUAGUUUUUGUAUCUUUUAGCAUGUAUUGAAUGGACACGAGCAGUUUAAAGUAAUAUUCUUGUUAACUAAACCUGUAAACACCCUAUUACAUAACCAUUUAGCUAAAUCAGAUGAAAAGAUGAAGAGAAAAACCAUAACCAGUUUUAUUUCACAUUUCUAGUUUCUCCGAUUAUAUCUCCAGGACACAGGUCCAACAUAAAUAUCAUUGACAUUGCCACUACUUUACAAGUUUUACAUUACUGGGGACCUUCAUUCAAACACAUACUGUUGUCUUCAAAGUUUCAAAGGCAACAAACAAUCUGGAAAUUAUUUUUAAAAGCAAACAAACCAAUCUCAAACAAACCAAUCAUUAACAUAUAUCAAACAAUCAAACCACGAGAACGUUAUAUCAAACAGACAGCGCAUACCUGGCCAAGCUUGAUUUCUCCUCUAUUUGGAUUGUAAAGCACAUGAAUGUUGCAAACCACAACUUUACGAGAAUCUGUCAAGCUGCAGAAUGCUGCAUUUAUGUUAUAUUGAGUAAACAAAGAUAUCUCUUCAAAAAAAUAUGAAUGAUAAUUUGAAAAAUUAAAAGAAAGCCCAUAAGGCUAUCAACACCUCAGUCAUUAAAAGAAAAGUUGCAAGCAUAACACAAGCAAGGCUCAAUUAAAAUUAUCCCCUGACCUUGUGCACCAAUCUAAAUCUUUAUGUCAGCACUCAGCAGCAUAAAAUAUACCCUUGUGAGUUGUGAACCUAAACAGUGUCCUCAUUCUCAUAAGAUUUAAGGAAACAACAAGAAGCUUUUCAUCCUCUAAUGAUGGAUGGAUACUCUUAAUGCUUACUGUAACUAGCUGGUACAAGAACUUACUGGGUUUGUACCCCAAUACUUUUUCUUUUCCCCUCAAAUUAUAUUAUCAGUUGUCUGAACACAUUUGAGUUAAACAUCACAAUAAGCCAACAUCACUCAACUACAAACCAAUCCAUAUAAAGACACUAGGUUUGGCUACUUCGUUGUUUGUUUUGCUUCUAAAUGAAACAAUGGCUAUUUCAUCCCUUUGUGCCCCUUUAUAGAAAUUUUUACUUUAUAUACAGCAAAGAAUUUUGUUGAAAACUUCAAGUUAGACCAUUAUGGACAGAGUACUCAUUUAGUUUUUUUAUUUAAUAAAAUUAUGUAAUAUAUCGUGUUGUACCAGUGCCCCAAUUUACAGAAAACAAUCUGUGAUGCUUUUCAUUCAUUAUGAUUAAUUUCAAAAUUAAGAUAACAUUUGCCGCACAAAACAAUUGGAACUAAACUGUUAAAUGGAACUAAAUGAUUACCUUAGCAAGAGUUGAUUUUGUUUCCAAGAUGAUAAAUCACCUUAUUUUACAGAGUAGAUUUCGUUUCUCCUCGAUUUUGUUUCCUUCAGAAGUUUUAGGGUUAACAGAUUUGGGGGUUUUCAGAAAUUUUAGGGUUGUGAAAGGAUGUGUGCGGGGCUAAGAAAGGAAUACACGAAAGAGAGAGCGAGGAAUGAACUUACAAAAUCUGGAAAAAUAAAAACACGUUUAUACCCUAAACGAUGAUGACAGUUGAUUAAAACCGCCCCAGGAACUGUCGCAAACUGGUGGCGAGAUUGAAAAACGCAACUCAUGUGCUUUAUAUGUUGUAGUAUGGUGGCGGCGGUUGACGAAAACCGCCUCAAAAACCGUCGCAAUGUGAAGGUGAGGGCGGUUAUUUCAGAACCUUCGCAUGCCAAAUUUCGCAAACUUAAAAAAUUCUUGUAGUGUAGGAACAUAAAAUACAUCCUUAAGAGUAAGUAUUUUUCCAGAAGUGAAUUCAAUCUCCACUGUUCCUUUUCCUUUGACUUGGACAGUUGAGGCAUUUCUCGUGUACAAAAUACUUCCAUCUUCUUCAUCAAUGGUCUUAAAUAGUUCUUUAUUUUUGCACACAUGGCUGGUAGCACCAGAGUCUAUCCAUCAAGAUUCAACAUCUUCAAUCAUGUUGAGUUUAGAAAUGACAGCAACAAGAUUAUCUUUUGUUGCACUUGAAUUCUUCUCUUUGUUCUCCCUUUUCAAGAACCUGCACUCAUUUUUAAAAUGUCAUAGUUUUCCACAAUGAUAACAACUUCCUUUUCUUUUCUUUCUUUGUUCAUCAUUACCGUUGUGUUUUUCAUGAGAUUUAUCAAAAUCUUGAUUUCUUUUCUUAAAAGAUUUGCUUGAAUUUCCUUCCUCCAUACAUGGAUCUUUUCAUGAGAAAAUUAGUUUUUAGUACCCUCUUGUUUACGGUACUCUUCUUCUAAACGAAGAUGAUUACCCAAUAUCUCAAGAGAUAUGUCAUAUUUCUUAUGUUUCAUAGAUUUUUUGAAAUCUUUCCACGAAGGUGGAAGUUUGUCUAUUAUGCAAGAUACAAUAAUAGUUUCAUUCAUGUGCAUUUGAUGUUGUUUGUAGUUAUUAAGAAUACGUCCAGUCUCAUGCAUUUGUUCCAUUACUGAUUUAUUAUCAACCAUUUUAUAAUUAUUAAAUUGAGAAACAAGAAACUUCUUACUUGUAGCGUAUUCUUGCAUGUAUCUUGACUCUAAUUUCUCAUAUAGUUCCUUUGCAAAGAUGCUACUUUGAUAUAUAUCAAACAAAGAGUCAGACAUUCCGUUGAGAAUAUGGCCCAUGCAUAUAUAGUCAUCAUUGUCCCACUUCUGUCUUUCUCUUGUUUCUGCUUAUGUUUCCACUUCCUUCUCCAGCGGUCUUGUGGUGUUUAGGACAUACACCACCUUCAAAGUUGUAAGAAGGAAUUUCAUCUUUUUCUGCCAACGGAUAAAAUUUCCUCCAUCGAAUUUCUCCAACUUCACAAAAUUAGAAGUCAUUUCUUUGAGUGAUGCAGCCAUUGAUUGAAAAAUAAGAUCGAACUUAAAGAUUGUUGGAUCUGUGUUGGUCACAACUGCUGCAAGACUUUAAUAGUGAAGUUGUUGAUGAAGAUUAUAUACAUCAAAUUCCAAAGUGUGUUGUUUCACUAGCCUUUAGGUUCGAUUCGCCCCCACCAUUCAGAUGCAAAUGAGAUAACCAACAAAUCCCCUUUAGGGUACUUUGGAAAACCUUGAUAUGAUUUUCACUUUCACACCAAGAGUAUCUUUCAAUAGUAUGUUACAAAAGAAUGAUUCUUAUUCUUUACUUAUGCAUUAGAAGAGAAUAAUAUGACUUAGAAUAUAAGAAUGAGUGGGAAAAGUGGAUGACAAUCUCUAUAAUUUCGUGUAUGCAUUAUGUCCAAAGUGACACUAUUUAUUGAAAAAUAAUGUCACUUGAGAAAGAGUUAAAAUUCUUGGUUCUGCCACUGUUUCGCGAACGCAUAUAUACAUAUAACGUUCACUUAUUGACUAAAGCAUUGCAUUGGUCUGGUGGUUGAUCAAUACACCAAUCUCAUUUUUAAUGAACGGGACCUUAUGUUUACACACAACCACUCAACCUGUGCCUUUUCAUAUGAUCAACUAUUGAUAAAGCAAGGUCAUGAUUGGUGUAAGUCUUGUUUCAAGGCUUUGAAUCACAUUUCAUCUUGUAUUGCUGAAGUUAUUACUAACAAAAUGAUAUAACUAAUUGCCAGAAGAAAAAAAAAAACAUAUCACCAUAAAGAAUAUAUGAUUGCACUUGUUUGAUAAUAAACAGAAGAAGGAAGCUUCGUCGGAGGAGUGUGAUGAGGUUGUUGAAGACUUAAGUACGGUAAAAGCAAAAGCUAAGGGUAAACAAGUACAAGAACCCCAUAAGAGUGCCAAAUCUAUUAUGAAGAGAUUAGGGGCUAAGAUAUUAGGACUUUUAGAGCUUUUUUUGUCAAUGAGCAGUAUGUGUAUGGUGAAACUUCUCUUGAUUUUCUAUUGCAUAGGGAUGACAGGGCAAAGAACACUACGCGAAAAACUGCAUUUUACAGUGUUUUUUUUAAUCCAUUUACAGCGCUUUUUCAAACAAAAAAAACGUUGUGGAAUCGAGCGCUGUAAAUGAUACAACAGCGCUUAAAACAUGUAAAUAUAACGCGCGCUUGUUAUGCACAUUUUACAGCGCUUUUUCAACAAAGCGCUGUAACAUGCACCCCAUUAUAUGAGUUAUGAGUCUGCAUUUUACAACGCUUUUUAACAAAACCACUGUAAAAUGCACACCCAUUAUAUGAAAUUAUGGGUCUGCAUUUUAACGCUUUUGUUGUACAUUUUACAGCGCUUUCUCAAGAAAGCGCUGUAAAAUGUACAACAAAAGCGUUAAAGUGCAGACCCAUAAUUUCAUAUUAUGGGUCUGCAUUUUACAGCGCUUUCUCACGAAAGCGCUGUAAAAUGUACACCAUUAUAGCGCUUUACAACAAUAUUUUACAGCGCUUUUUAAAAAAAGCACUGUAAAAUGUGUUUUUUUUUUAAACGCUGUAAAUUAAUUAUUUGAAAUGACAAGCGCUUUUUAGCUUUUUAUGGCAUUUUUUUUAGAAAGCGCUGUCUUUUAUCUUUGCAUUCAAAAUUAUUUUGAUCCAAAAUCAGUUCACAAUCAGUGCACACAACAACAAAACAUAUUCAAAUACCAUAAGCAGUUCACACAAUCAGUAAAACAGAAAUCAGAACUCUGUAACUUAAUUAACAUAUAUGUAACUUUGUAACUCUGUAAUUUACAACCUAAUUAACUACAUUCAAAUACAUAUAUAUAACCUAAUUUACAACCUAAUUAACUACAUUCAGAUAUAUAUAUAUAUAUAACCUAAUUUACAACCUAAACUACAUUCAGAUCCAUAUGCAUGUUCAUAUAUUGUGUCCUAUGAUCAUUUACAUAUAAUAACUAACAGAAUAUACAUAAUAUGCACUAGCUACCAUAUAAUAUUCAGAUCCCUUGCCCAACAGCAAGCUAUUUCCCAGAAAAUCAAAUAAUUUGCAUGUCAAGCACAUACUGACACCAGUCUUCCUUUAAUUCCAUCGGAUCUUCCUCAGAAUACGAUGGACUGGAAUUGUCAAAGUACUGCAAUAUAAAAAUUGAACAUAUUAUAUUAAGUUAGUAUCAAAUAUAUAGAUAAUUUAUAUAUGAAAAUCAUAUAAUGAAAAAUACUGUACCGUUUAUGGGAUAAUAGUUUUAUUCUUCUCAACAAUCUCCUUCAUGAAUCUCAAUACGUAGUACCCACAGUUGCAAAUAGCACCCAAUGUGCCCUACAACAACAAAAAAUUGGUUAAGCAAUUUUGUUUAUAGACAACUAAUAAAUUAAAUUCUCAUCAAUUAAAAAAGAUAAAAUUACGUACCCUGAAUUAUAUGGUGCCAAGAACAAUUUAUCACUUUCUUUAUUUCUUAAAAACAUAUCUACAAUGUAGUGUUUUACAUUGUCUGGAUCGAGUUUGAACAUCGACAUCUUAUGCGGAGACAAGAAUGAGUAUUUAUUUGACAGUUUCCUCGUGCACACGACCUUCUCGUACAAAAACCUUCAAUGAAAAUUUUAAACUAGAUUAAUUACCAAUACAUUUAAUUAAUUACAAAUAAAUGCAAUUAAAAGUAUUUUUUACCUUAUGUACAAGCUGAUUACAGUAACACUCAGCUCCUUAUGUUCGAGAAGUUCGUACAUGUGCUCCUUUUCGAGGUAUUCAAUAUACUCAUCUCCAAAGAUGUCUUUAUUCAUUUGUACGAUGGGCGAAUCGUUGCUGCUGCCCAUGUUCCUUUUUAUUUGGAUGUCAAGACACGCCCCGUAUUUACCAAGGCGUGGCUGACUUUUAUUAGGAGCAGCAGCAGCAGCGACCGAUUUUCCCCGAUCCAGAUUUUUUGUUGCUGCAAGUUUUGCAGCUUUAUUACCCUCCAGCCUUUGUAGUUUGGCAGCCCUAUUAACCUCCAAUUUUUGAGGUCUGCUGCCUUUUUUUGGCUGUAGGGGUGGUUUAUUUAUUUGGACCUACAAAAAUGAGGUAAAAUGUUAGUUUAUUGAAUCUGAAAAAAUAAAAAACCUUAGGCAAUAAAUGUGACAAACCUUUUCGGGAGAUGUAACUGAUUUGUCCUUGGGAAUCUUUUUUUCGAGGGCAACAAGGUGUGUGGGCCAUGCCACGUAACUGCCAAUAGCGUCGCUUAAGAACUUCAUAUCUCCAUCGUUGUCCGGUAUGGGCAACGGUGCAGUUGGUUCGAAAGCAACCGUAGGCGAUACUUUGACAUGGCCCGCGGGGAUCGGAAUAUUGUGCAAUACUUCUCCCGAAGUAUUGUGCAAUAUUCCUUUUCCCACCUUCCGUUGAGUCGGCGAGGACAAGUAUAGGACACAUGUAGUGACACCCUACAUCAAUAGUUAAAACAUAAGUACAGUUAAUAUAUAAGUUUGUUUAAUACAUAAGUAAUUACAUAAGCAAGUAAGUAGUAAGUAAUUAAUUACCUCGGGAAUACUCUUCAAACCGACGUUGCAACUCCCGGUUUCACUCUCCAUUUGUAUUUCAGGUUGGAGCUGAACCGGAAGUUGCUUGUCUUUAUUCGUAUUCACCAAGAGUGCCACUUGCUCCGAUAAGAUUCUGAGCUUCUCUAAUACUUCCUCGUUGGAAGGUUUUUGGCGCUUCUCUUGAGGAAAAAAGCUUUUGGGAGUUACGCCAAAUCCUUUCCCCCUCACUCGACCGGAAUACUCAGGGACAUUAAACACUUUCCCAAGAAUGUCCCUGCACGUAUCCUUGUUGCCCUCUUGAGUUUCAGAACUUUGUUCAAUAGUUUCCUAAAAUACAUGUAACAUUAAAAAGAUAAGUUCAAUAGCAUUUUUAAAAUACAAUAUUAAAAAAUAUUAAAGUGAUAAUAUACUUACACAAAGUUCUACAACUUUCUUGACAUUUUCAUUAUCAACCACUCCUUCUUUAUUAACACGCGCUUCCUUCCACAAUAUAUGACGACCCAAGGGUUGAUCGGCUUGGGUGUCUUUUCUCUAUUCGUUAAAAUCAUAAACAAAAUAAUACAAAUUAGUUACACACUAUAGUUUAUAAUACAAAUUACUUCAUUAUAUAAAAGUGAUGUUUAAUUACUUACAAUUUGUUGUUCAAGGCGUGCAUAUCCCAUAUGUGAUUUCUUGUAUGGGUGUUUUGGAUUGCUUGCCCGUUCGCGAUUUGCCUUACUAAUAUUCUAUAUAAAAAAAAAUAGCAAUUGUGUAAAAAUUUAAAAUACGCUACGAAUAUGAAUAAUAAAACACAAAUGCUAAUAAAUUAAUCACUUACGACAAACGCCGGGUCAGAACGUUUGGAAACAAAUGCACUCCAUUCAUCCUUUGAUAUAUAAUGUUGAUAUAUCUUUGGAGGUUCAGCAUUUGUGUUUCCUUCUCUAUCUUUUAGAUAGAAAUUUGAGAGAUGGGAUCUAAAUCCACGAUGGAUUUUCCCAGCAACUCUCAAAACAUAUGACUUUCGUUCCUCAUCAAGAACAAAAGUCGUCUGCAAUGAAAACAAUUAUAAGUAAAGUAUUUUAUAGAAAAAAAAUUAUAAAUGACAAAAGAGUGGAUCAAAAAAUUUACUUGAAUGUCAUUCCAUAUAAUAUCUUUGGCAUCCUUCAACGCCUUAUCUCUCCAAUUGUCGACUAUAAUUGGGACAUUUUGACAAACAACAACCUCAAUAUAGCUUACAAACAUAGAGCUGUUGGGGUCAACUGGCUGACCACUCUCAUUCCAGCCAACCUAAUAAACUCAUAUAGUAAGUACAUGCCCUAAACCCUAAAAAAAGAUAAAAAACACACAUCAAACAGAGUAUAGUAUACCUCAAAUUUAAUGCCAUUACUCCUUGCUUUAAUCACCUUUUGCAUGAUAGUUGCACCACGUUUGACUUCUUUUUCGUAAGUCUUAGAGGUGCCAACUUCUUCAUUUUGAACUUCUAUAUCUUUGUUUGUAUCCAUUUAACUACAACAAGUUCAACAUGCAGUUUAGUAUAACAUCAACAAGCUCAACAUGGAUCAUGCAUUAUUAUAAACAAGCUCAACAUGGAUCAUGCAUUAUUAUAAACAAGCUCAACAUGGAUCAUGCAUUAUUAUAAACAAGCUCAACAUGGAUCAUGCAUUAUUAUAAACAAGCUCAACAUGGAUCAUGCAUUAUUAUAAACAAGCUCAACAUGGAUCAUGCAUUAUUAUAAACAAGCUCAACAUGGAUCAUGCAUUAUUAUAAACAAGCUCAACAUGGAUCAUGCAUUAUUAUAAACAAGCUCAACAUGGAUCAUGCAUUAUUAUAAACAAGCUCAACAUGGAUCAUGCAUUAUUAUAAACAAGCUCAACAUGGAUCAUGCAUUAUUAUAAACAAGCUCAACAUGUAUCAGUAUAUCUUAAAAAAGCUCAACAUGCAUUUAAAUGAUUACAAAAAAUUUAUAACAUCAAUACCUGAAUAAUGGUUCGAAGAAAGAUGAAAUGUGAAGAAAAGAGGGAACGCAGAAAGUUCACAGAAAUAUGGUUCACAGAAAUACGGUAUUGAAGAAAUACGUAAUGAGGGUUACGUAUUUCAAUGAAAAUAUAUUGUGUGAAAUGGGAGAGAUGAUCUUGGAUGGAAAUAAGGUUCGUAAUGGACGGGAUGAUAGGGUUUGCAAAAGAAGAGAAGAACGAUGAAGGUUGAGAUGAUAGUGACGUUUACGUAAUGAAGAGGAAACUGAAGCGGUUAUUGUUAUAUAUACGUAACCCUUUUACGGCGCUUUUUUAUAACCCUUUUACAGCGCUUGUUCAAAUAAGCGCUGUAAAAUGUCUCUUUAUUUUAUUUUUAAAACAUUAUUUUACAACGCUUAUUUGCAAAAGCGUUGUAAUAGACCUCCUUGUUUUAUUAUGUUAUAUGAAGAGUUUUGUUUAAAGCCUUUUACAGCGCUUUGUUAAACAAGCGCUGUAAAAGGCCUUAUUGUUUUUGUGUUUUGUUAUGUUAUUUUUUAAACAAGCUCAACAUGCAAAACCCACAUAGUAGUAACUGGUCACCACCAAAAUCCCUUCCUCUUCACCAAACUCUUCUCCUUUUAUGCAUCUUCUUCACAAACAUCAAAGCUUACUCUUUCACAAUUCAAUCUCUACCUCAACACCCUUUUUAUCUCUUUACAUUCCCUUUCCUUCUUAAAUCGAAACUUGGUAUUCAAGUUCAUUGCCAUGUUGCGAAAAAUGGGUUUGAGUCUGAUGUUUUUGUUAACAAUGUGUUUUUGGGGAUUCCCAUGAUGGUACAAGGUGUUUGAAGAAAAUCCUGUUAGAGAUAGUCAUGUUAGGUGUCUAAUAAUUAUUAUUAAUAAAGCUGUUUACAUCGCUUUUUCAAAUAAGCGCUGUAAAAUGUCAUUUUUACUUAUUUUCAAAAGCGUCGUUUACAGCGCUUUUUAUAAAAAGCGCUGCAAAAGAUCUCAGUAUAUUAUUUUUGUGUUGGUUUUAUUUGGGUUCAAUUUUGGAUGACUGUAACUGAUCAGACAUUUAUUCCAAUCGAAUUGGCACUUAAUUUACAUUAUAUAAGUGACAUUAGUAUAAAACACUCAAUUCUGCCAUAUUAGUAUAAAACACUCAAUUCAAAUUACAUGCAUAUUUAUCACAAUAAUUCAGAUUACAUGCAUAUUUAUCACAAUAAUUCAGAUUACAUGCAUAUUUAUCACAAUAAUUCAGAUUAUAUUCAUAUUUAUCACAAUAAUUCAGAUUACAUGCAUGGCUUAUAUAAAACAAUUAAACAUAUACAUUAAGAUGCCCUUCUUCUUUUCCUGGUGGAAUUCACAUUUGUUUGUCCAUUUACAAUACGAAACGAUGGAUUAAUCCAAAUUCCCUCAUCAUGAUCAUCUCUAAGAUAUAAACCUCAUCAGUUGAAUCAAUUUCAUGUGGUUGUUGUGAUGUUGCAAAUAAAAUCCCUCAUCAUGAUCAUCUCUAAGAUAUAAACCUCAUCAGUUGAAUCAAUUUCAUGUGGUUGUUGUGAUGUUGCAAAUAAAAGAUCAUUACCAACAUCUUCAUCAUUAUUGUUAUCAUCACUUAUUUUAUUGGUCGAUAGGACAACAUACCAUUUAUCAUCAGAAGGAUCAGUGACAUAAAACACUUGUUGAGCUUGCGACGCUAAAAUAAAAGGCUCGUCUUUGUAUCCCACCCUAUUAAAAUCGACAAGCAAGAAUCCUGACUCAUCAAUCCGAAUGCCAUUAUUAUCGACCCACUUGCAACCAAAUAUAGGAACACGAAACAUUGUGUAGUCUAACUCCCAUAUGCGCUCGAUAACCCCAAAAUAUGAUAGAUUUGCAUAUAUUGGGUUUUUGUCUUUUGCACUUGAGACAUGCAUCGCUUCAGCUACGAGAGUGACUCCACUAUUUUGCAUAGUGGUCUGAUCAUCUUGUUCUUUGGUAUAAAAUGUGUAGCCGUUAAUAACAUAACCAGUGUAAGAAAAGACAUGUAAGCUCGGACCAUUUGCUAGCCACCUCAAUCUAUUUGAAAUUGAUCCGGGGUCUAUAUCAAAUUUUGACAUUAUGUGAUUUUUUAACCAUGUUACAAAACUUCGAUUGUGCUCUCGAGUUAUCCAAUUUUGAUUCCUAUUCAUGUUCAAACGAGAUAACUGAUCAAUGUGUAUUGUAACAUACGGUUGAACCUCAUCAUCAUUGUGCAGAACAUACAAUUGUGCCUGCUCCCAUUCUGUCCUUGAUAUAGUCAGUAGUCUCCUUCCAGUUAUCCCUUCUCCUGAUAGUCUUCCCGAAUGACGAGACAUGGGAAGCCCUAUGGAUUCAACAUUGGACAGAUAUUCAGUACAAAAUUCAGCAGCCUCUUCAACAAUGUAUCGUUCAGCAAUACAACCUUCUGGUCGACUUCUACUUUUUACGUACCCUUUUAAUAUUUUCAUAUAUCGUUCUAUCGGAUACAUCCAUCUCAUAUAAGCUGGCCCACAAAGUUGUGUCUCCUUAACCAGAUGAACAGUAAGGUGAACCAUUAUAUCAAAAAACGAUGGUGGGAAAUACAUUUCAAGCUCACACAAAGUAACAACAAUUUCCCUCUGCAAUGUCGGUAAUUUCUGAGGGUCGAUCACUUUACUACAAAUUUCCCUGAAGAAGAAACAUAAUCUAGUUAAGGCUAGUCGAACUUUUUCAGGUAAAAUGGAACGUAUACCUAUUGGUAGCAAAUGCUCCAUUAUAAUAUGACAAUCAUGGGUCUUCAAACCUUUUAACUUGAGGUCUUUCAUACAAACCAAAUUUUUAAUGUUCGAAGAGUAUCCUUCUGGAACUUUAACUUCGUGUAGAAAUUUACAUAAAACAAUUUUUUCCUUUCUAGAUAGAGUAUGAGCGGCUGGAGGUAGAUAUGUGCGAUUUCCUUUCUUUACUGGAGCCAGUUCAUUUCUUAUUCCCAUAUCGACCAAGUCCAAUCUUGCAUUGACGCCAUCUUUAGACUUUCCUGGAACAUUGAGUAACGUACCAAUAACACUUUCAAAUACAUUUUUUUCAAUAUGCAUCACAUCGAGGAAAUGUCUUACAUACAAUGACUUCCAAUAUGGCAAUUCAAAGAAAAUUGACUUUUUCUUCCACCCAGUUUUCACCAGCUCUCCCGCAAAAGGUUUGCCAAAUUUAUUGGUCAAACCUUGUACUUUUUCAAGUAUUUGAUAUCCAGUCGGUGCUAAAGGAGCUUUACCUUCCUCUGAUUUUCCAUUGAAUGCAUUUCUCCACCCACGAUACUGAUGACUAUAAGGUAAAAAUCUACGAUGUCCAAGAAACACAUUCUUCUUACAAUGUUUCAACCGCAUCCAAUUUGUACUCUCUUCACAUAUAGGACAUGCACACUGACCUUUAAUGCUAUAUCCUGAUAAAUUACCAUAUGCUGGAAAAUCAUUAAUUGUGCCGAACAACAUAGCCCUCAAAUUGAAACACUUUUUCCUAUACCCAUCAUAAACUUCCACACCUGUCUCCCACAGAAUUUUUAAAUCUUCAAUUAAAGGAGUCAAGUAUACGUCGAUAUCAUUCCCCGGUUGUUUGGGUCCAGAAAUUAACAGAGACAACAUCAUAAACUUACGCUUCAUACAUAACCAUGGAGGUAGGUUAUAUAUUACCAAAAUCACAGGCCACGUGCUAUGUGAGAUGCUUUGAAGACCAUGUGGAUUCAUUCCAUCAGUAGAAAGUGCAAGUCUUAGAUUUCUUGACUCUAUCCCGAAUUCAGGAUACUCGUGAUCAAUUUUUGCCCAUUGUGGGGAAUCUGCAGGGUGUCGAAACAUUCCAUCUCUAAUUCUUUCAUCUGCAUGCCAUGUCAAGUGUUUUGAAUCUUCUUCACUGCGAUACAUGCGCCUAAAUCUUGGUAUUAUAGGAAAAUACCACACGACUUUUGCUGGAGUAGAUUCUUUCUUCUUAUAUCGAGAGACAUUGCAUUUCGGACACGCCUUAAGUAGUUCAUAUUCGUUUCGAAAUAAAAUGCAAUCGUUAGGACACGCAUGAAUCCUUUCGUAACUCAUUCCAAUAGAACACAAAAUCCGUUUAGCCUCGUAGGUUCGACUGGGAAGUUCAUUAUCAUCUGGCAACAUAUCUUUUAUGAGUGUUAAUAAUUCCGUAAAGCUUUUAUCAGACCAUCCAUUACUCGCUUUUAAGUUGUACAACUUUAAUAUCGCUGACAGUCUUGUGAAUUUAGUACAACCAUUAUAUAAUUCUUUCUCUGCAUCACUCAACAAACUUUCAAACAUUUUAGGACAAUCUCGAAGAUCUUCUUCAACUGCUUUUGCAAUCUCAUCAACUCGGUCCGGCUCAUAUGUAUCUGUAUCGAAAUCAGUAGAUCCCUCCUGCUGGAAAAUCCUCCUUCUCCGAAGGAUCUUCUCCCUCCCUAGCAUCUUAGGUCUAUCCCUUAUGUCUUUUUGGAUGACAAAAGGGGAGAAUUAAGUUAGAUUUUCAUUUUUUUUGUCCUGCUUUCUUGUUGUAAUUCUGCAACUUUUGAUGUAUCUUUGCCAAAUUUAAUGAACUUUUGUUAUCUUUAAUGAAACUCUUUCUGAUUGCAUUCAAAUAUUUUAUUUUAUGUUGAAUUAACAAAUGCACAAAUUGAGGGGGAGCUGUUACAGCUCUUUAUCUUAGAAUCAAAUUAAAAUCUAAAUUAACAUGUUUGUCAUCAUCAAAAAGGGGGAGAUUGUUGAGACAAACUCUCUAUUUUAAAAGUUUUGAUGAAAAUAAACAAAGGUUAAUUAAGAAUGUUAAUUAUGAUUCUAAAUGUUAUGUUAAUUUAACUUGUGUUCUUGAGUGGUUUUAAUUAAGAGCAGAAUCAAGCAAAUACAAGAAAAGACAACAACAAGAUCAUUCUACAUCAUAAACAGAGAAUGAUCUUCAGCUUCACCGAAUUAUCUAUCACAGCAUGUUGUUCAAAGUUUAUCUACAUCGUUAACAAAGAAUCUGUCCUGGAAAUUUGUUCAUAUCUAAUCAGUACAUGGAAAGGAACAAGUAGGAUUCAUCCAAGCUCAAAAAGGCUAUUUGAUCACAAAGAUCAAAGGGUUCAAACAUGGACAAAAGUCAUGACGGCUUAAGAACUCCAAAAUUCAAAUGUCAAGAAAACUUGAUCAAACUGGGUAUAUGACAAGACAAGAACAAAGGAAAUACAGAAAAUUUAAAACGGGAACUCCAGAAUGAUUAUUGAAGCUCAAGAAAGUUCAAACUGUUAAAACCAAGAACGCUAAUCAUUCUCCGUUUUCUGCACAUCAACAACAGCCUUGCAUCCUCUCUGUUUCAGUCUGCAAUUCGCUUCAAAUCUUCUCCAACCUUCUCUAGCUACACUCAAGACUCAAGACAGAUAAUGUACCAUCCAAGAUCAAUGAAGAAAUGUCAAAGAAAGGACAGAGAUGCUUUAAAUGCUAAACCUUAAAAGUCAAAAAGCUAUUUCAAAGAAGGAUUAUUUUUAUUCUAAAAAUAAUGUUUCAGUCAAAAAGCUAACAACUCUUGUACCUUCAUUUAAGUACAUCUACAACCUAUAAAUAGAAGGCCAUUAUCUCAGUUCUAAACAAGAAAUUCAAGUGCUAAGUAAUCAACAAUAUACAAUCACACUUAAGCUUGAAAUUCUGCAAAACAGAGACAACAUCAUUUUAUGCAAUUCGCGAAACAGCCACUGCUGCACAUUCACAUAUCAGCUGCGAAAUUGUCUUUAGAUACUCUGUAAAGAAUCUAUUCUCAAACAAGAGUUGAGCAAUAUCAGAUUAUGUCAAAUUCAAUCAUUUGAAAAAACUCAAACUAUAAGAGUUUCUUUAUAGUUUGUUUAAGAUUGCUUCCUAUCAAGGUUAGAUAGGUGUUGUAAUUGCUUUCUGGGUGGAAAGUAAUUAAGAAAGAAAUAGAUCAAGGUUGAUUUAUUCUAGGAAAACAGAGGCAACAUCAUUUUCUGCAAUUCGCGAAACAGCCACUGCUGCACAUUCACAUAUCAGCUGCGAAAUUGUCAUUAGAUACUCUGUAAAGAAUCUAUUCUCAAACAAGAGUUGAGCAAUAUCAGAUUCUGUCAAAUUCAAUCAUUUGUAAAAACUCAAACUAUAAGAGUUUCUUUAUAGUUUGUUUAAGAUUGCUUCCUAUCAAGGUUAGAUAGGUGUUGUGAUUGCUUUCUGGGUGGAAAGUAAUUAAGAAAGAAAUAGAUCAAGGUUGAUUUAUUCUAGGUGUUGUAAGAUUAAGAAGGUUCUUCAUUUUAAACACUUAGUGGAAAAUCUCACAGUGUGAGGACUGGACGUAACCCACGUUGGGUGAACCAGGAUAAAUCUUUGUGUGGUAUUCUCUUUCCUUUCUCCUUCUUUAUUAUACUGCAUUAAUCAUUUAAGAUAAAAUAGAAACUGAUUUUCUGCUAAUUUAAGAACGUUCUCUGUUUUAUAACAUAAACCAAGAACGUUCUCCGUUUUCUGUUUCAUAACCAAGAUCAUUCUUGAGUUAUUUUCUUAAGUUUUAACAGGAAUUUUUAAAAGGCAUAUUUACAAUUCAAACCCCCCUUUCUUGUAAAUCGAUAUUUUUACUUCAACAAUUUCAAAACAGAACAGAUUAUGUGGUAUGAGUUUUUGACAAUUUUUGACAAUUUCAAAACAUAACAGAUCAUGUGUAGAAGAGAUUUAAUAUAUAUAUAUAUAUAUAUAACAAAACAUAACAGAUCAUGUGUAAAAAAUACCUGAGACAACGUAGAUGGCCGCACAGUACGUAGAAGAUAUUAGGGUUCCCAAUGUAUAUAAUUAUUUGAAAGAUGUAGAGGAUAUGAGGGUUUCCAACGUAAAUAAUUAUUUGAAAGAUGUAGUUUACAGCGCUUGUGAAAAAAGCGCUGUAAUAGGUAGUUAAAUUCAAUGAUAGCGCAUGUAUUUUACAGCGCUUGUGAAAAAAGCGAUGUAUUAGGUAGUUCAAAUAUUUGAAAGCGCAUGUGUUUACAGCGCUUGUGAAAAAAGCGCUGUAACUGAUACGCGAAAGCGCUUCAUUUUACAGCGCUUGUUUUGCAGCGCUUGUCAACAAAAGCGCUGUAAAAGGCUCCGUUAUUUUUAAAAUAUAUUUACAACAGCGCUUGUGUUUAGCAAGCGCGGUAAAAAGGACGCUGUUAAAUGUCAUUUUUGGUGUAGUGGAAGUUAAGUCAUUACAAAGAUGAAUUUAAAUAUUCUCUGCAACACUACGGAUUUGGUAUGAAACUACUUUGGGCUGAUGUUAAGAUAAACUCUAGAAUAAUUUUUAAAACUUGGUAAUGGAAAGAGUCUUUCUAGAAGGGAGAGACAACAACUCACGAGGACAACAACCGAUAUUUUCAUGCUAGUUCUUUUUGAUGUAUUUAUCACAGUUCCGUUCAUGGAGUUUCUGUUGCCAGUAUUCUUGAAACUGUUCCCCAACAUGCUGCUUUCUACUUUCUAGGAUAAGAUGAAAGAAUAGGUAAUUAUUAAUGUACUCAUCAAACAUUACUUGCCUUAUUGCUGGCGUGCUUUAUUAUCACUCAAUUUUGGGAAAGCUUAACUUGUAGGAGGCAUUGAAAAGAAGGCUAAAUGCAAGAAUAAAAUAUGAUAUGUUUCUUCAAGAUACUGUGAAAGAAAUGACGAAGGAGAUUCAUAAUUCCCGAAGUGGAGAAAUGAAGAGACAAUAGAAGAACUUGAUGAAUUUAUGAACAAGGUCAAUCAUGUUAUUCGUAAUAUAGCUAUUUUAUAUUUCAGCUGUCAUCUUAUGGACAAUAUUGUAUAUUAUGUUCGUAUUUAGUUUGUUAAUGGAACAUGUCAGAACAGGUGCUUGAGUUUCAAAAGAUGCGAUCUUAGGAUUUGCCAAAUUAUUUAACGAUGAGUUCACUUUGGAUAACAUAGUAGGUUGGUCCUUCUACCAUUGGUUAUGUUCAACUAAUUGUGAUCUUCUGUUAUGAAUCUUAUAUUUUGGAUCUCCAUUAUCAUUAUACUAAUAUGUCUUUUGGUUUUUAAAAUGGAUAAACAGGCCUCGCUUGGUAAAUAUGUGUAAAUACAUGGCUCUGAUUUUGGUGUAUGUAUAUAAUCAUUGGCUCUUAUAGGUUAGAAGAUUUUAGGGAAGUUUCAUUUAAUGCUGUGUGCCAGAUUUUUUAUUUUAUUUGGUGUAGAUCAGGAUUUUUUUUUCCAAGCAUUAUACAUAAUACAUAUCUUAUAUAUGUUACAUGAAUCUAUGAAUGUUUGCCUUCUCACUUACUUUUUUGUAUCAUUGUUAUUUUGAAAAUAUAGAUUUGAAAUUUUAGGCUUUGACAGGAUCAAGAAUGAUGAUAAAUUGAUUAAAGAAGGUGUGGAGUCUCUUUCUGAAGCAGAGCUUCGUCAAGCUUGUAGAGAUCGAGGAUUACUUGGAUUGCAUUCAGUGAAAGAAAUGCAGCAUCAGGUUAACAAUAAAUGUUUAAACAUAAUUUGUACACUGGAGCUCAAUUAUGGAGUCUCCAACAUUGUGUUAAUUUAUUGGCUGGGAAAUUCUUGAGAAUGAGAAACUAGCCAUAUAAUUGCUACUUUCAGAAAUUUGAACCAUUAUCUUCUUAUUUUUGCAAUUUUCAGAAACUUUAUCUAUUUCUAAUUACUACUUUGAGAACCUUCUUAUUGAACUUUUUUUUAAUCAAUUUUAAUUGAAAAUCAUUGAUAUGAUAUCCAGAUUUAACUCAAACAACACCCAAGAUUCUCAAAUGCUAUUGUGUGGAGUGAAUAACAAAAAUAAUGUCUUAAAAACAAGGGUUGUAGGUAAACAACAUUUUGUCUUUCUUAUUUUUAUUAUCUAUGAUAUGAUCGAAGAUUAUUGGUUUAUAAUCCUCUAUAUAUAAUAAAUAUUUGCUCUCCAAUUUAUAAGGCCCUGCAUUUGAAAUUAUUUCUUAAUGAAAUGUAUGAAAUAAUAUUUGAUUUUGAGUUUAUUACCACUAUCAAAUUGGGGAAUUAGUUUGAUGUUUGCAUGUUUUGAUUUUGAGAAUUUGAUCUUGUUUGAUGUUAAUAUUAAAGUCUUGAUUAUGUAUGAAAUAGUGAGGUUGAAUUUAAUAUAUAUACUUAUAUGUUAUUUUCAGUCAAUACAUACUUGUAAUUGUCACGAGAUAGUAGACGUUCUUCUUAUUCUAGUUGCUGGUCUAAUCUUGGAACAACAUCAAUACAUCAUUAGGGACUAUCUAGAUGAAAAGUGAGGGGUUUAGUUUGUUUGUGUUGAAUUGGGUAUUGUUUAGAUAUUCAUGUCUAUGUUUAAUGGUUAUUCCAUUUGUUAAGUUGGCAAUGAUGCAACUGUUAUUGCUGGUACUUUUUCUUUCUCUAUGUGUCAUAGAUAUUUAUCACACUUAACACUUUGAACUUAUCUUUAUCAUUAUCAUGAUAUAUAUUUGUUUAUUUUUAGGGAACAUAUAUACUUUUGGGCUAUUUGUAUCCCAAUGUAAGUUUCAUAAAUUGAUUUUUUUUUUAAAAAGAUGACGAAUAAGAGAAAGAAUCAUAACAAUUUGAAUGUAGGAUUUAAUUUUUAAUAAAAAAAACUAGUAAAAAACUUGUACAAUCGCACCAGUGAAAAAAACUAAAGAAUCAUUUAGCAAGAUUAAGAGGUUUUGGCCCUGGUCCAAACACUGACUGCCUCAACUUGAUUAUGUCUAUUCGCGUUCCGGUUGCAACAUAUUUCUUUUUCGGGUAUGCAAGAGUAGACAGCCUCNNNNNNNNNNNNNNNNNNNNNNNNNNNNNNNNNNNNNNUCCCUUUCAUCAUGGUACGAUCACAUAAAUAAUACUUUUUUAAGUGAAAUCUGCUCUUUAUCCAAAAAAGUUACGAUGUCCUAAGGUUGGUCCAACAUAUCAUGAGGUCUAAAGCAAAACUAUUAGAUAUGAUAUUUUCAAAAAUUAAUAAAUAAAUUAUUAAUAUUUUAUUUAAUAAUUAUAGAAAAUUUCUUUAGUAGAAUUAAUAGUAUUUUCAAAUCUAUUUUCUCUAUAUUUUUCAAAAAAUAAAAUAAGACAUUUUAAUUGUUUUAUAACAACAUCAAAAACUCAUGUAAAAUUUUUCAUCUUUUAGUUGAAGAAGAAAAUAGUGUGUAUACUACUACUCCAAUAACUCAUGUUAAAAGUGUGUUCACUAAUAUUUCUCAUGAGUUAAUUGUUUCAUGAUUUCUCAAUUUAUAACUAAUAAUUCUCAUAUGAUGAAUGCACUCACUUUUGUCUCCUAAUUUCUAACUAAUAUUUUUCAAUUUAUAUAAAUUUUGUCAGUUAAUAUCAAAAGUUAAGACGAAAUUUUACAUAGAUUGAAAAAUAUCAAUCUAAAUAAAUAAUGAUUCUACCAAAAAUUAAAAAAAUAUUUAAAAUAAAAAAAAUAUUUUUUUUACGACGUCUAGGGCGAUCGUUUUAGGUGCUGUCCCUUGAGUCUGUUCUAACACUUCGUGUGUAAAAUUUUGUUCCAGCACGUCGUGUUAAGAGUUUUUUUUGACGUAUUUGUUAAACGCGUUUUUUUAAUAAGAAAACUAAUUCAAAUGACGUCAGCCUCAACCUGAUUAUGUGUCUUCCAAUAGGCGUUCCGGUUGCAACAUAGAAGGUUUCUUUUUCGGUUGACGACGUCUAGAGCAAUCGUUUUAGGUGCCUGUCCUUAAGCCUGUUCUAGCAAAGAUUUUGCUCUAGGACGUAGUGUUAAGAGUUUUGUUUGACGUAUUUGUUAAACGACCAUCUGUUAAAAGCUUUUAAUGUCACGUUGUGUUAAGAGUUUUGUUGACGUGUUAAUCGCUGUGAAUAUCUAAUAGAUGAUUAUUUAAUUUAAUGUCUUUAAAUUAAAUAAUGAUAAAAAUCAUCUUAAUCUUAUCUUAAUUUAAUUCUUUGUUUUUAUUUUUAGAAGUUUAACUUUUUAACUUUAACAAACAUAUUUCACAUUUCACAUAAAACAUUUGUAAAAUGACACUUUUUAUCACCGUUAUUAAGAAUAAUUUCUUUUUUUCAAUUGUUUUAAAAAAAAUUCUUAAUUCUUAUUCUCAAUCUCAUUUUAAUUGAAAAUCAUAUUCGUUUUCUAUAUCAUAUUUCCUAGACUUUGUAAUUUUUCUCUUUUGUUUUAAUUUAGGUGUUUUGUGUUUACAAUCUUUUCAUUGCAAGGUUUAUUAUAGAUUAAGGAAAAAUAUGUAACAUAAUUAUUAGAAGUAUAUAGUUUUUUAUAUUUAGAGAUUGAAGUGAUAUUUAUUUAUUUUCCUUUAAAAUGGCCACGGUUAUAUUAUGGUCAUCAGAAAAGGAGUAUAUUAUGUUGGUGAAAAUAUGUAAAAUUAAUAAUAUAUUAAAAAAAUUAAUUUGUCUAAAAUUGAUAUGCAUUUUUUUUGUUUCAAGUGCAACAAACUAAGUUAUAUCAAUCAUGAGUAUUUAAAUGAAAAUAUUGACGCGGUAAUUGAAACUAAUAAAAAAUUGCAAGUUAUUCAUAUGGAAAUAAAUAUCAAUUUAGUGAUAAAAUUUUAAUUUUAUAACCUCAAGAAAUAGAGAUUAAAUUUCAUAAUAAACAUAUAUAAAAUUAUCAUCAGUGUUACAUCUAUAUCUAUUACUAAUAAUUUUGUCUCCCCCAAAUUAAAAAAAUAAAAAUAAAAAGUGUUACUAAACAAGCUAACUAUGAGUCAUGACAAUGACAAUGACAAUAGUUGCUCUUAAUGUGUAUAUAUUCCCAUCCAUUACAAUAGUAUUGUAAAAUAUAUUGUAAGUAUUUUACAAUUUUUUAGACAAAAGUAUUUGAUUCUUGAAGAAUAAGAUAUUAUAAACUUUUUAAUUUUAUAGAUUUACAACAAGGAAAAGUACUUGCUCAUUGUAUUGAAGAUUUAUUUGGUAGAACCUUUGUACCUGCCUAGCUAACUAGGGUGAAGCAUAUUUGGGCUCCUAACCUCAGGUUAUAUACAAUUUAAUGUGUGGAAUAAUUUUUCCAUCCAGCAUAUAUAAUGUACUUAGGAUAAAAUAAAAUGGAUAAUGAGGAACUUGUCACAAGGUUGGUAAAUAUCCACCACAGGUACUAGUAGCAGUAGCGAAGGAGGCUCCAUGUUAUUUUUUAUUUUUUGUACAAAGGAGGUUCCAUGUUCAAUUCCUUAGUUUUUUGUCUUUUAACACAUGAUGGAAACUUAUCAUAAAAAAUAAAAAUAUUAAUAAAAAAUAAGCCACAAAUUUCAAAAUGCCUUAAGGAAGAGAAUAAUUGGAAAUAUUUAAGUACAAUAGGAUUGGUUGUUAUGAAUUAUAAAAGAAUGAUAAACAAUAAUGAAAAUAAAAACUACUUUGUAUUUGUUAACGAUAAAGAAUAUAUAUAAUUCUUUUAAAAAAUCAUCUAUAACAAUAAACAUUGCAAAGGCAAAAGAAUGUCUAUAAAAAAUUACUUAAAAAACACUUACACUAGAUUUAUAAUUUAAGUUUUAAGAUUUUUUUUUCUUUUCAAAUUUUCAUUUUUUUCAGAUAAAAAUUCUUAAAUAUUUUUUAAAAAAUGAGACAAACAUGUUUGUCACAAUGUGAGGAUGUCGUCUUGGAUCUCAAAUAUUUUUAUAUCUCAAAUUUAUAUUUUUAAUUUAAUUAAUAUUAUUAAUUUUUUAAUAUUAAAUAUGUUAAUCUUUAUAGUAAAUUUUAUUCUCUAAUUUUUGUACGAUUUAAUAAAUAAUAUAUUCAAUUAUGUGGUUGUAUUUAAUAUUUAGCUGUAAAUAAGUUGUUUAAUAUUGUAUCAAGUCAAUUUCUUUUAAUAUUAUAAAAAAAAUUAGACUUAAAAACAUCCAAUUUACUAUUGUUAAUUUUAACGAGUUUUAUUUUCUAUUUUACUUUAAAUGUUAAUAUUAUUGGAUCGACCCUAUCCUUGAAAAUCUCUAAAACGAAGGGAGAUGUUUUAAAUUAAAGCUAGUUUAAGUACUUAAUGAGAACUAAAUAACAUAAAUAUAAAGAUAUUAAUUAAAACAUCAUUAUUUGUAACAUAGAAAUUGACCAAGAGUCCUAAGAUGGUCAAGAGAUUGUGUCCCUUCGCAAAGGGUGCAAUUUUUUUUUUAUAAGAAAAAAGUGAUUUCCUACAUGAUUGCAAAAUGUCCACUAUCACUAUGAUGUGAAGUUUAAGAUAGCUGACUCAAAUAUACGCUAUGUUACUCCCUCUACUUCUAUUGGACUUUAUAACACUUAAAGUAAUUAAUGAGUGGAUUAUUGUCUAAUUAAAAAUCUUACCAAUAAAAUUAAAUGAAAUAAAAUUAUGAUAAAAGGAAAAAUGGUGCAGUGCCAACAAAAACCAAAUCUCAAAGAUAAAGACAACGACGAUUAGGGAGACUAAAUUCAUUAUGAAAGAAAUAUUCCCUAAUAAAAUUAAGUAAAUAAUCUGAAUGUCAUAUUGAUUUUGAAACUCCAACAUAGAGGAGGACACAUAUAAUCUCUAGAAUAAAGACAUGAUCAAUCAAUUUGCAAGCAGCCUAAAAAAAAUUACUGUGAGAUGGUCGAGACAAUCACGUUCCUUCUAACUUUUAGAACAAACAAAGAUGAUCGAAUGCAUAGAAGCAUCCAAAUUGCAUUGAAAAAUGUAAAACAACCUAUUGCAUAAUUUACAAGCCAAAGCACACAAAAAUAUGGGAGGAGCUUCCAUAAGCCACAUUACACAAAGCUAAAUUGAUGCCAUAACACACCCAUGAAGAGAGAAGUAAAUUGAAGGAGUAUGAAGUAAAGAUAGAGUGAGAGGUAAAUUUCUCAGAGCUUUGAUUGGUAGUGAAAAGAAGUUGAGAAAAGAGAAAUGUGUGAAAAAUAGUGUAAGAAAAGAUAAAUAAAAGAGAAAUAGAAUAAAUUUGAUGUAUUAAUUGGUUGAAGAGAAAUAGACAAGAAAUAGAGAAAAAAUGUUAAAAAUUAUUCGUGAAAAUGCGACAAUAUCUUUAAAUUUUACAGCAUUAUAUUUUUAAUAUAAUAAAUAACAUUUUAAUAUUAUAUAUUUAAUUUAUUGAAUUAAUUUUUUUUAUCCAUUUCUUUAAUAUUUAACUAAAUGAUUUAAGAUACUUAAUUUAAUUAUUAUUUUAGUUAUUGUUUAAAUUAAUUAAUUAAUUAAAAUCAUUAUAUUGAAAUGUUAGACACAAAUAUCAAGGUAAGAAUAUUAGUUUAGCAAUGACAAAUCAUUCUAUUUGGUUUCUUGAUAGUUUUGCAAAUAUAAUAAAAACGUAGGUCCCAUUAAUAUUUCUUCCCUCUUUCAUUUUUUAUUGCUUUGCCAUUGAUCUUUCUCUCGUCUAUCAGUCUCCUGUCCUUCUUUCUCCCAUACCAAUCACAACUCUAGGGUUUCUGAUCUUGUUUAUUUAUCAAACUAGGAUUGCACGCAUUUAUUGAACAUUUUGUAUGUACAUUGCUACAAAGCUUUCGAAAUUAAACAUUAAUAAGUGACUUAGAAGAGACAUAAUUAACUCACACAAUUACGAGAUCCUAAAUUCAAACACGGAACAAAAUAUCCAACCUAACAAUAUCAAUAUUUGUCAGUUAAAAUAUAAUUUAAAAACCUUUCAACAUAAUUCCAACAAUUACUAACAAUAAUAACACAUCGUUGCUUGCAUAUUCUAAGAUACACAACACAUGAAAUUGAUUGACCACAAAAUAUUAAUAAUAAUAACAAUUUACAUGCUCCUACCAAUUCUUUCCCUUAUUUUUCUUCCCCACCUCUACAUAUAUUAUCAAAAGCUAAGAUCCAACGGUGUAUUUUACAUUACCGAAAACUAACAAAAAUAGCCAAAAAUUGAGAGUUGGACAGCAUUCGCCAUUUUAAUAUAUCAAAUAAGCAUACUUCAUAAAAAAACAAAUUACCCUGUCGUGUUUAGAGGAAGACAUCUAAAUAAAACUUUAGGCAUGAGCAUAAUUUCUAUAAGUACAUUUUCUUUUUUCUAUCACAAUCACAUUGGUACGUUGGAUCAUCAGAUUUUAACAGAACAUGGUGACCCCAUAAUAAAAUACAGGUCGUAUGUAUAUAUAAUUGGUAAAAUUAUGUUCUCAUGAACAUGCAAACCAAAAGUUCUGAUUUCAGAGGCCCCUUGAUGUAUGCCUUUUCCAUUGCUGAUAUUCUUUGUUGUAUUAUUAGUGGAGAUGUUGCAACUACAAGAAGGGUACAUCUCCUCUCGCACCAUAUCAUCUCUACAUCUACAGGUAUUACAUCUCAACCAAAUCAGCUUAUCAUAGAUUCAAAAUACAUAAACCAUAGUCCAUAAAUAACAAGCUAAAACACUCGACCAAAUCAGUAAUCACACACAUCCUACAAUGGCUGUAGUGCUUUGGGCAUUGGCUUUAGCAAGCCUAUGCUACCCUCUAGCCUCAACCAAUGCUCAAUCACAUGCAGCUGCACCAUCAAAGUUUCCAACCACAACAGCAUCUUCACCCUCCACAUUGCCAAUUGCAACUUCACCAUCUUUAGCCAAACAACAACCUGUUGUGGCAGCAACUCCUGCUAGUAGUACAAAGAAACCACCAACAGCAACUUCUCCUACUUGGAACAAACCAACGAACACAAUCACAUCAGCAGCACCUUCCAAAUUACCAACCAUAAUCCCCGCUGCACCUUCCAAGUUGCCAACUGCAGCUUCUCCAACUUCUGGCACACCGUCAGCUGCUAAAACACCACCCAUUGUGGUAGCAGCUCCUCUUGCCUCAAGAAAACCACCAGUAGCAACAUCAACUCCAACAGCUGGCCCCGUGAAAUCACCAGUUCCCAAAUAUACAUCUCCAACAUCUUCCCCUGUGAAGUCAUCAGUUCCCAAAGUCACAACGCCAGCAUCUACUCCUGUAAAGUCAUCAGUCCCCAAAGUUACAACUCCAGCAUCAGCUCCUGUGAAGCCACCAGUUCCAAAAGUAACAUCUCCAACAUCUUCCCCUGUGAAGUUACCAUCUCCAAAGGUUACAACUCCAACAUCUUCUCCUGUGAAACCACCGGUUCCAAAAGCUAUAACUCCAGCAUUUGCUCCUUUGAAACCUCUUAUUCCAAAACCUACAACUCCGGCAUCUGCUCCUUUGAAACCUCUUGUUCCAAAAACUACAACUCCAACAUCUGCUCCUUUGAAACCUCCAGUUCCUAAAAUUACAACUCCAACAUCUGCUCCUUUGAAACCUCCAGUUCCUAAAAUUACAACUCCAACAUCUGCUCCAGUGAAACCACCAGUACCCAAAUUUACAACUCCAACAUCUGCUCCUGUAAAACCACCAGUUCCAAAAGCUACCACUCCAAAAUCUGCACCUUUGAAACCACCAGUUCCAAAAGUUACCACUCCAAAGGCUGCACCUGUGAAACCACCAGUUCCAAAAGCUACCACUCCAAAGGCUGCACCUGUGAAACCACCAGUUCCAAAAGCUACCACUCCAAAGGCUGCUCCUGUGAAAUCACCAGUUCCAGAUCCUCCAAAACUUGCUCCUGUAAAAACACCAGUCCCCAAGGUUACACCAGCAUUAAGCCCAAAAGCUCCAUCUCCUAAAAUUCUACCACCACCACAUCCACCCAAAAAAGCACCAGUUUCUCUACCACCACUACCUCUAGCACCUGUUUCACUUGCACCAUUACCGUUGCCACCAGCUUCUUCACCACCAAAGGCAUCCCCAACACCUGCAAAGGCACCAAAAGCACCAACACCAUCCAAAGAAACACCAGCACCAGCACCACAUAAAAAGAAAGCACCAAAGUCUUCACCUGUUCCUUCCCCAGCAAUUAACCCACCAUCACCUGCACCAGCACCUGCAAUAGACACACCAUCAUCAGCACCAGCACCAACACCUGAAGAUGACACGCCAGAACCACCACCCCACAAGCACAAGAGAAGAAAACACAAGCAUAAGCAUAGGAGACAUCAUGCGGUAUCUUUAGCUCCAGAACCAACAAGUACAACAAUCAUUAGGAGGAGUCCCCCAGCACCACUAGCUGAUGAUACUACUCCAGCAGAUUCUGAUGAGUCACCAGCACCAGCACCAAGUCCCAAUGCGGUACCAUUUUACUUUAAGUUACAUUGAUAUAUUUAUGGACCUCUCUGGUCUGGAUUAUACAGCAUUAAUGCAGUCAUGUAAUCUCAGCCAUCUGAUCUUUAUCGGAUGGUUCGUACUCUAACUUAGAGAAACAGGUCUAUAUCACACAUUUAAACUGUUAUCCGGUCAAGAUCAAAUGGUCAGGAUUUACAACAGCGUGAAUGCGUGAUUGCACCCAAUCCACUUUCCUUACAUACAUAAAUGUCUAAUAGAAUGCGACAUAUAUCAUAAAAUUGGAUUGGUUUGAGUGGAGAAGAGUUUUGUUCUCCUUAUAUAAGAUCUUAAUUCAAAUCUUGUAAAUAGAGAAAUGACGUGUUAAGAGAGAUUUGUCCCUUACAUGGGACCACUUGGCUCGACCUGAAUUUGUUAGGGUCCAAUGUGAGAUCCAGUAACAAGGGUUUAGACCCAAAAAAGAAUAAGACAAAGAUAUAUACUUAAAUCUUUGACGCUACUCUAAGAUUGUGAAUCUUGAAAGUGUGAACAAUUGUGAAAAUGACUGUAUAUGUUGUUUAUGUUUCAAAUCCAAAGAGCUUUUUGCAUGUGAUAAAACUGGCUAAAGCUUCGUUACCAAAUCUUAUGAUUUUAUUUUCACAGAAUGGUGCACCAUCAUACCAAGGGCAAUGGAGAAAGAUAAUGGCAACUGGUGGACUUGCUGUUGCCAUUUUGUUAUGUGUCACUUGAAUACCUGCAGCAGAUGCUAUAUAUAUCAGGUCAUUUGAAGAAACAUGGAUUCACGCAAAGCGGUUAAAUUUGGUUUGCAAAAAUAUAAAAUUAUUUCAUAUGUAUGAAAAUGAAUAAUGAAAAAUUAUACUUAUAAAUUAUUAAUUUUUUAUCCUUCCGUUCUUUCAUUGUAUUGUGGUCUUUGCUCAAACAAUAUUAGUGAUAUGAGAUUUUGAGUUAUCAGGAAAUGCAAAGUGAAAUAUGUGUGUCUAAUACUUCAUGACAAGUCCAUUAUAGUCAGUUUUACAUUAUGAAUCCAAAGCCGAAGGAAAAUGCACAGUAAUGAGAUCAUGAACACUCAAUUGCUUAAAAAUAAAACAUGUGUAAUGUACCAGUACUUAAUACUUACACAUAUAAUUGUGUUACAAAUUAAAUAUGAGCAUGAAAACUCAUGCAAUGCUGGAGUAAAUGUUAUUGCUAUUUUCUAACAACAGUCAACAAUAAGGUCCCCAAAAUAAAUGUGCAGUAAUAAGGCAACCAUAAGAUCAGUUAGAACUAGUUUGUGACCCAUGCAACAUGUAAAUUUAUGCUUAUAUGUGAAAGUGAUUACUCAUUAUUUUAAAUGUAAAAAUAUAACUUAUUUGAACCAUAAAAACACAAUAAAUGUGAUUGUAGCACAAAAAGAUGUGUUUUCCAAUAUAAAAAAAAUAGUAAAAGCUGGGUGUUCUUAAUUUGACAAAUUUAAACAAGUAUAAAAUUUUUGUUAACAUCAUGGGUUGUUUAUUAAGAUGCAAUACCACAGCAAAUUGAACAUAACAAAAGAACUUCUCUCCUUUACUUAGUUGUAGUUUGUACCAAAUUUAUAAUAGCAAAACGUUAAAUUUCUGUUUGUAAAUACAUCGGAACGUAAUGGUAAGGAACUAAACAGUUUUGAUUGUUGAAACUAAAUCACACAUAUAAGCUGAAAAUUUUGUAAAUUGUAAUAAUAGGACUAAAAGGAAAACAAUGGUUAUAGUUAUAGUGGGAGUCAUCUUCCAUUCCCACAAUGAAAUAUUUCAUACAACCAAAGAAAUGCAUCGUGAUAAAUUGAUAAUCAUAUGCAACAGCUUACAAUAUACCCUAUGUUUUGAUAGGAAGAAGUCUAAGUACAUUUAAAUAAUUUAAACAACUGGGAAUUCCAUAUUGUAUCAUACGCUAAACCACAAACAUAACUGUUCUUCCAUUAUAAAUGCAUAAAGAACUUUCAAAAUAAAUGACACAUCUGAUGAAAUAACAACUAGAUUGAAGAAAAUGAGAAUUGUGUACUUUGAGAAACUAGCAACCAUUAGUUAAAGAGUUUAGCUAAUAAUUUCUAAAAUAUUGAUAUAAAACAUACAACUUAAAAGUCUUGUAAUUUUGCUAGAAAAGAAACAAAUUACUUAAGGUUGAACAGAUUUGCAUAUUACAAAAGAAGCAAUGACUUCAAUUAUCCACUUCCAGGAACAUGUGUGAAUUUUAGAAAUGUGGGGGGGCGAAAAGUAGCUCCCCAAUUUUAAGCUCACAACCCACAAUAAUAUAGCUUCAAUUGCAAUUUAUAGCUAAAGAAUCUAAUAGUUCUAUGAGAAUGAGACACCUCAAAAACUUGCAUAAAAAAUAUCUUACUUAACCACUAACUUAGUAAGGGACACCAAAGGAGUUUUAAGAAGGAGGUAUCGGUUCAAACUCAGAAAAACUAUCAUAACAGCUAACUUAAUAACAUUUGCCUAUUGAUUUUUUUCUUUUGCCAAUGUUUUACACAUAUGACCUGCAAAUUUGGUUUAGAUCAAUUUUAAAAUUUUGAAGAAGUGAAGUAACAAAGUUAAAAAAAAGUAAUAAAAUUUAAAAAUAAUAUGAAUAAUUGCAAGAAAGCCAUUACAGUUGCAUCAGAACAUCGGCUAGCUUCAAUAAUCAACUACACAAUUAUGAAUGAAAUUUAGUAAAAAAAUGUUAAAAUUAGUAGUGUUUAUUUUUGAAAAAUCAAAAACUUGUCUAAUAAAAUGAUUAAUUCUAAAAAAUAAUAAUAAUUAAGAAAUGGUUAUGCAAAAUUGCGAGUUACCUAAAGAGGGGUAAAAAAGACCAUUGCAAUUCAAACAUACAUCAGACAAAGAGAAUGGAUUUCACUUCAGAAUUGAUUCCAAAAUGAAACGUGAGAUUGGAUUGAAGUGGCGAUACGUAACCAAACAUGUCCAAAUCGCUUUUGAUGGGAUGAAACCUGCUGUUGAUGAUUUUCACCAGCCAGCCAAACAUCCUUUUUUUUAGAAUUGAUUCUAAUUUAAAAUAGAAAAAUAAAAUCAACUUUUUUAUAUAGAGUCCAUGUUGAUUCUAGAGGUAGUGUAAAUUUUGAUUCUAGAAUAGAAUUGAUUUGAC
This 69394-nucleotide long non-coding RNA is filed under the name Cicer arietinum (chickpea). Its description in RNAcentral is "long non-coding RNA (CARI_LNC002280)". The record is from RNAcentral. Lineage: Eukaryota; Viridiplantae; Streptophyta; Magnoliopsida; Fabales; Fabaceae.